Molecule: long non-coding RNA, 72159 nt
Filed under: Malus domestica (apple)
Lineage: Eukaryota; Viridiplantae; Streptophyta; Magnoliopsida; Rosales; Rosaceae
Source: RNAcentral
GGUUGGAGACUUGGAAAAUCCAAGUCACUGAGUGGGAUCGGCUAUAUGAAUCUUAGAACGCCAUUGUGCUCGAUCCUGUGUCAUGUCCUUCGUUAGAUCCAAGUACUCUAAGUCUUUUCUUAGAGUCUCUUCCAAAGUUUUCCUAGGUCUUCCUCUACCCCUUCGGCCCUGAACCUCUGUCCCAUAGUCGCAUCUUCUAAUCGGAACGUCAGUAGGCCUUCUUUGCACAUGUCCAAACCACCGUAACCGAUUUUCUCUCAUCUUUCCUUCAAUUUCGGCUACUCCUACUUUACCCCGGAUAUCCUCAUUCCUAAUCUUAUCCUUUCUCGUGUGCCCACACAUCCAACGAAGCAUCCUCAUCUCCGCUACACCCAUUUUGUGUACGUGUUGAUGUUUCACCGCCCAACAUUCUGUGCCAUACAGCAUCGCCGGCCUUAUUGCCGUCCUAUAAAAAUUUUCCCUUGAGCUUCAGUGGCAUACGGCGGUCACACAACACGCCGGAUGCACUCUUCCACUUCAUCCAUCCAGCUUGUAUUCUAUGGUUGAGAUCUCCAUCUAAUUCUCCGUUCUUUUGCAAGAUAGAUCCUAGGUAACGAAAACGGUCGCUCUUUGGUAUUUCUUGAUCUCCGAUCCUCACCCCUAACUCGUUUUGGCCUCCAUUUGCACUGAACUUGCACUCCAUAUAUUCUGUCUUUGAUCGGCUUAGGCGAAGACCUUUAGAUUCCAACACUUCUCUCCAAAGGUUAAGCUUUGCAUUUACCUCUUCCUGAGUUUCAUCUAUCAACACUAUAUCGUCUGCGAAAAGCAUACACCAAGGAAUAUCAUCUUGAAUAUGUCGUGUUAACUCAUCCAUUACCAACGCAAAAAGGUAAGGACUUAAGGAUGAGCCUUGAUGUAAUCCUACAGUUAUGGGAAAGCUUUCGGUUUGUCCUUCAUGAGAGUUCUUACGGCAGUCUUUGCUCCUUCAUACAUAUCCUUUAUAGCUUGGAUAUAUGCUACUCGUACUCCUUUCUUCUCUAAAAUCCUCCAAAGAAUGUCUCUUGGGACCCUAUCAUACGCUUUUUCCAAAUCUAUAAAGACCAUGUGUAAAUCCUUUUUCCCAUCUCUAUAUCUUUCCAUCAAUCUUCGUAAGAGAUAGAUUGCCUCCAUGGUUGAGCGCCCUGGCAUGAACCCGAAUUGGUUGUCCGAAACCCGUGUCUCUUGCCUCAAUCUAUGCUCAAUGACUCUCUCCCAGAGCUUCAUUGUAUGACUCAUUAGCUUAAUACCCCUAUAGUUCAUGCAAUUUUGUACGUCGCCCUUAUUCUUGUAGAUAGGCACCAAAGUGCUCAUUCGCCACUCAUUUGGCAUCUUCUUCGUUUUCAAAAUCCUAUUGAAAAGGUCAGUGAGCCAUGUUUAUACCUGUCUCUCCCAAAAGUUUCCACACUUCGAUUGGUAUAUCGUCUGGGCCUAUUGCUUUUUUAUGCUUCAUCUUCUUCAAAGCUACAACCACUUCUUCCUUCCGGAUUCGACGAUAAAAAGAGUAGUUUCUACACUCUUCUGAGUUACUCAACUCCCCUAAAGAAGCACUCAUUUCAUGUCCUUCAUUGAAAAGAUUAUGAAAAUAACCUCUCCAUCUGUCUUUAACCGCGUUCUCUGUAGCAAGAACCUUUCCAUCCUCAUCCUUGAUGCACCUCACUUGGUUUAGGUCCCUUGUCUUCUUUUCCCUUGCUCUAGAUAGUUUAUAGAUAUCCAACUCUCCUUCUUUGGUAUCUAGUCGUUUAUACAUAUCGUCGUAAGCCGCUAACUUAGCUUCUCUGACAGCUUUCUUCGCCUCUUGCUUCGCUUUUCUAUACCUUUCACCAUUUUCAUCAGUCCUCUCCUUGUAUAAGGCUUUACAACAUUCCUUCUUAGCCUUCACCUUUGUUUGUACCUCCUCAUUCCACCACCAAGAUUCCUUUUGGUGUGGGGCAAAGCCCUUGGACUCUCCUAAUACCUCUUUUUGCUACUUUUCGGAUACAACUAGCCAUGGAAUCCCACAUUUGGCUAGCUUCCCCCUCUCUAUCCCACACACAUUGGGUGAUUACCUUCUCUUUGAAAAUGGCUUGUUUUUCUUCUUUUAGAUUCCACCAUCUAGUCCUUGGGCACUUCCAAGUCUUGUUCUUUUGUCUUACUCUUUUUUGAUAUGUACAUCCAUCACCAACAAGCGAUGUUGAUUAGCCACGCUCUCUCUUGGUAUAACUUUGCAAUCCUUACAAGUUAUACGAUCCCCUUUCCUCAUUAGAAGAAAAAUCUAUUUGUGUUUUUGACGACCCACUCUUGUAGGUGAUCACAUGUUCUUCUCUCUUCUUAAAGAAGGUGUUGGCUAAGAAGAGAUCAUAUGCCAUUGCAAAAUCCAAGAUAGCUUCCCCAUCCUCGUUUCUCUCCCCAAAACCAUGGCCACCAUGAAAACCUCCAUAGUUGCCUGUCUCCCUACCCACGUGUCCAUUUAAAUCUCCUCCUAUAAAUAACUUCUCCGUCUGAGCAAUUCCUUGCACCAAGUCUCCAAGAUCUUCCCAAAAUUUCUCCUUCGAACUCGUAUCCAACCCUACUUGAGGUGCGUACGCACUAAUCACAUUGAUAAGUUCUUGUCCUAUUACAAUCUUGAUUGCCAUGAUUCUAUCUCCUACCCUCUUGACAUCUACAACAUCUUGUACCAAGGUCUUGUCCACGAUGAUGCCAACACCGUUUCUCGUUCUAUUUGUGCCCGAAUACCAAAGUUUAAACCCUGAGUUUUCUAGAUCCUUUGCCUUACUACCAACCCACUUAGUUUCUUGUAGGCACAUAAUAUUUAUCCUUCUCCUCACCAUAACUUCCACUACUUCCAUAGAUUUUCCCGUUAAGGUUCCUAUAUUCCACGUUCCUAAACGCAUUUUGCUCUCUUGAACUCUACCCUUCUGUCCUAGCUUCUUCACCCUCCCCCGUCUAAUAGGAUCAAAGUACUUCUUUUGUGUGUCCCGGGUAAAGUUGAUAGGAGCAUAUGCUCCCAAACAACUUUGAGUGGAGUCGUUCGAAAAGAAGUUUCUAUGGCCCCCUUGCUCAUUUAACACUGCAUCCGGGUGCCGAUGGAGAUACAGCGACCCUUGCUCACUUAUCACUGUGCUCAGGCCACACAGCGCGCCACUUACGGGUGACGCCCUAGCUUUAGCGCGAUUUUGUUCUGGAUUCAUUUUCAUAAGGAUUCGACGUGAUCAUGGAGUGCCGGCUGUCGACUACCUGACGCCCUCCCCCUCCUCCUUUAUCCGGGCUUGGGACCGGCCAUGUAAGACAUAGGCGGAGUUACUAAGUAGUCCCAGACUAUUGAAGAAAAAUUGCAUAAUACAUAAAAGAAAAUUAGAGGUGAUACGUACCAGCUCAAGUGCGUUGCUUAUGUUGUCCUCAUUAGCUAGAAUGGUGUCGAAAACGUUUAAAUUUUUCUUGUUGAAUGACAUUAUAUCAAUUUUAGCAUCAAGUAUAGAAUCAUAAGCCGCGUAGCGGUGUUUGGGAUAAUGAGCAAGGUAAUGAAGAGGUGCAUUGCCAUUAGCAUCCUUGUCAUUUAAGAGGAUGUUGCUAAGCCACAGAUCCGUUAACACAAAAUCAACUACGUCAACUUGAUAGCUCUUUAUGGCAUAGUGAAGCACAUUCUGACAUUGGUUGUCGACCAGUUCACAACAAUCAGGGCAAUGAGUAAGAAGCUCUUUCAUUAUAUCUAGAUGGCCUUUGGACGCUGCAAAGUGAAGAGCUGUGCGCCCAUCAUUGUCAGCAACGUAGGCGGUCGAUUUAUCACAUUCCAAUAGUUGCUUAACCAUUGACAAGUAACCAAAAUCUGCAGCCAUGUGAAGCGGAAUGCCUCCUUGUUCGUCUGCUGCUUUUGCCAGAGUUCUAUCCGAUUUUAGUAAUGCUCUCGUCAUUACUUAAGUAUAAAAGAAAAACAAAACACAAAUAAAUACUUCAAGAAACAAAUGUAUUAAUGAAACAUGAAAUGAAAGAUAAAAGGGAUUAGUUUUUUUAAAACUAUUUUCUAUAUACAUUUACCUUCAUCAUUGCGGAUAAUUGCAGCGUACAAAGCCGUUCUACCAUUUGGGCCUUCAUAAGUUGGAUUUUUGCAACCUUCAAGUAUUUGAAGACAAUAAUGAGUGUAUCCCCUCUCGACAGCUAGGUAAAGAGGAGUCUCGCCGGCAUCAUUAGGAGAGUAGGAAAACUCAGGGUCUUCUUUGGUUAAUACCUCCACCACACCAAAGUAAUUAAAGCGUACAGCUUCGUGCAGCGCUGUGUCCUUCUUGUUGUUGGUUUUCCUGAUGAGUUUUUGCUCCUGCAAGGCGGCAUCUUCUGAUGAGAUCGCACAGCCUUGCUCAAGGUCACCUUGAUAAUAAGUUUUUGUAGCUAGGAGGAGAGCUCUAACUAUACCAGCACGCCCAUAUCUUGCCGCAAUGUGUAGGGCAGUAUCACCACUAUCGUUCUGCUGCCAUAGUAAUGCUGGACACAUUUUAAGGAUACCGUCCACAGUGUUCGUUGACUUGAGUAUCUCGUCCUCAGAUUCUUUGAACGUUGGGCGCCUAUAGCAUGCUGUAUAGAUAUGAAGGACUGUGUUCUUGGUUGCAGUCAAUAUUUUGUCCAGAUUCUCGCCAUGUUCCUUAAGGACAUUGAGAUUGCCUUGUUUUGCAGCAUUGAAAAUAUCACGAUCCAUGUUACUUAUAAAAACUGUACUAUUGUUCCCUUCUAAUUUUGCGGCUUCUUGGACGUCGGCCUGAUCUGCUAGCUCGAUCUGGUCACCGACAUCGGUUGAUGCUAACGGAGUAAUAGGACUCUCCGACUGAUUAGCCACAUUGGAGGCAUCCAUGCUCUUUUGUGUGGGGGGGGGGGGUUGGUUGGUGAGAAGAGUGGUUCUGGAGGGAAGGAAAAAUUACAAGAAGGCCAGUUCUGUUGACUAGUUCAAGCUGCAACCUGUUGGAGUUUAUGUUGAGAAAAUUAGAGUACACAAUUCGAAUAUAAAUGUUGGAGAGACAAAAUCAGUAAAGAAAUUACUUGUAUUACAUUUUAAAUAUUACAACAUACAAUUCUCAAAGACACAAUUUUAGAAGUUAUGACACUCUUAUUUUUUAAAGGCAAACUCUAGAUGACUCACUUCUCACAAAAACUACUCCCUAACAACACCACUCUUACUUAAGUGGAACCCACUUCUUGGUUUUUUGCUUGCUUCUUUUUUCGGUUCUUUGCUUUGCUUUUUUUUUCUUUUUCUUUUUCUUGCUUGCUUCUUUUUUUUGGUUCUUUGCUUUGCUUUUUUUUUUUUUUUUUUUUUUUUGUUCUUUGCUUGCUUCUUUUUUUGGUUCUUUGCUUUGCUUCUUUUAUUGUUUCUUGUCUUGGUUGAUUGCUUAUCUUCAUUGAUUCAAAUGGGAUGGAUGCCUUCUCCUUUUGUAGGCAUGAAUGGAACCUUGGAUAUGUCAUAUGUACGAUUUGAAUUCAUGACCUCUCCUAUCAAAGUGGAGCAACAAGGUGCCAUCGAACGAUUACUAACAAUGAACGACUUUAGAUUAAAAAUCAAGUGCAUCAAAGAUAAUUAGAGAAACUACGUUAAGAGUUUCAACAACAACAACAAUAGAGCUUUAUUCCAUUAAGUGAGGUCAACUGUAUGAAUCCUAGAACUCUACUGCGCUUGGUUUUGCACUAAGUCUUCUGUUAGCUCCAAGUAUUUCAUGUCUUUUCUUAGAGUCGUUUUCCAAGUCUUCCUAGGUUUUUCUUUACCCAUUUACCCUAAGCCUUGCUCUCAUAAUUGCAUCUUCUAAUUGGAGCAUCGGUUGGCUCUUGGUUCAUAUGUACAAACCACCUUAACUGAUUUUCUCUAAAAAAAAAGAGUUUCCAUUUCUAAUUUUCUUUGGACCCAUACCUCUUUGAUGUAGGCAACUUUGCUAUCUGGCGUAUUUCGCUACAUGCUGUAAACAUGAACUUAGCUAUCAGCAUCACAAGGCCACUAAACAUGUGAUUCAGGAAAUGUGGCCCCUUGAGUAUUUUUCUUUCAUUAGAAAGAAGGGAAUUUGCCAAGACAAGAAGAAAAAGAAGCCAAACACAAAAGCCGCUAUGGCGAGUCCGGUAGAAGGGCCAGCCAUCAAGUACUGCAUAUGUGACGGUAAUGAACGAAACCACCAUCGCAAUCAAAGCCCACAAAAUUGAAGAUACCACCCUGAAAAACGUGUCAGAUAUCCCAUUCUCAUAAUUUGGAUUUGUGUAGACGGAGGAAUAAAGGAGCACCAGGACGGAACAACUAGACACGGCCAUGGCUAUUUUAUCUGUUAUCACGAAUGCUUUGAACGCUGCACUUCUUGAUAGAACUAUGGCACCCUGGUCAAGUCCCUUCUCACUUUGGUAACCACCAGGCAUGGUAAAACCGGCUGCGAAUGUUACAGUUGCUAUAUCAAGGUAGCCACUAGCAGAUGUGUUUCUUUUGCUUUAUUCCAACUUUUUCCGAUUUCCUUGGAACCUUGAUUUUCUUCCACUUUAUCGCGACCAUCUCUGUGAUUCUUGAUUCUGUGACCUGGUCUACCACCCCGCUUUUGCAAUUGCACUUUAUGAUUUUCCUGCAAGACAGAAAAGUAUGACAAUGUGCCGGAAAACAUAACUCAAGUUUUUCGGACACAAGCAGUAGAAGGUGAUGACUACUGAGUAUGUACCUGCUCUUAUGAUAUGCUUAUCUUGUCCUCAUUAGCUAGAAUGAUAUCAAAGGCGUUGAAGUUUUCCUGGUUGAACAUCAUUCCCGAUAUUCGAAUUUAAAAUCUCUUGUUUAUAAAAGAAAGGGAAUAUCAGUAGUCAAUAUUACUAAGACGUUUUAAAAAUCAUUCAAAUCAAAUAUCUAGAAUUAUAUUUCUUUUUGUUAAAAAGGUUUAGGAGAAGCCACUUAGUACUACAGUCUAAUAGUAUUUUUCUUUACUUGUUGAAUGUCAUUCUCGGUAUUCGAAUUUAAGAUCUUUGUUUAUAAAUGAAAAGGAAUAUUAGUAGUCAAUAGUACUAAGACCUUUUAAAAACCAUUCAAAUCAAAUAUCUAGAAUUAUAUUUCUUUUUGUUAAAAAAGUUUAGGGGUAGCCACGUAGUGCUAAUAGUAUUCCUCUUCACUUGCAAGAACGUGGUUUUAGGUUCAAUUCUCGUCAAAGGUGAAUUUAAACCACAUAAUUGCUAGCCUAUUAUGAGUCUUAAUCUACUCCCCAUCUCCUUGGAGUAAAAAUAUCGUUUGUUAAAAAAAAAGUGUAGGAGAAGGGAACUCUAUCGCAUUUUAAGGCGUACAUGCCACAAAUCUCUUUGAAAACUUACAAUAACUGAAAACUCGUUAUUUAUAAGAUUUGGGCAAAAUUGGGCUUGUUUAAUUGGACCAUUGUCAAACAACUUGGGCUCAACAGGCCCAAUUGAAUCGGGGUUACCCGGUGGAGUUUUAGACUUGGUUCUGUAACAACUGACCCGAUUGCAGAGAAGCAUCGAAAAUCCGAAGCGAAGAAGGUGGUGUCUCGUACGGAUCGAGCAAGGAAGAAAUCAGACAUGGGAGAGGUAAUAGAAACCCUACCGGCGCACCGGAGCUCCUUCGCAGCUCCAAUUGUAUUCAUCGUCGUCGUCGCUUUCCAAAUCCUCUCUAGAUGGCUGGAACAGUUAAAGAAGGUAAUUUCCUCGACUAUUUUUAACUUGCAUUCAAACAAUUUAAUCCUAAUUUCUGUGCGAAGUUAGCUCUUAAUCUUUUUUUAUACUUUAAUUGCAUUUAUUCUGAAAUUAAAAUUUGAAGUUGGGUGAUUUGUUUUGUUGGCAGGGAGGAGUUAAGAAUGCUACGGCAACCCGAUUGCGUGGAGAAAUUAAAGACCUCUUGAAGGAGGCAAGCACCUUGUCACAGUGAGUGAUUUUUUAUUAUUUAAUCAUAUUUUUUCUCCAAUUUAUCAAAUGGAAUUUUAUUUAUUUAUACAUUUUUGGAUUUUCAGCAUUGUUUUGAUGCUUGCAGCUUCAAAUUUCUUAGCUUUAUAGUAUCAGGCGUUAGUUUGGAUUAUUUGCAGUUGCAUGAUCUUUGUUUUUGCCUGAAUCCAGGCCGUCGACAUUUGCGCAAGCUGCGAAACUUCGGAGGAUGGCAGCUGCGAAGGAGAAAGAACUUGCAAAUUGUUAGUUUGCAACUCCAGCCCUUGGAUUAUUGUUUAUGUUGAUCAUAUGUAUAAUUAUAUACAGGCAUUCCUAAAACACGUAUACUACGUAUAUAUGAUUGCAGAGAGUAAUUGUAUAUGACAUCCUUGGGCUCAAAGUUGUGUUUGUAUAAUGGCGUCCACGCAUUUUAUGAGUAUGAUGUUGUUAAGCAAAGUAUUGAAUGGCGAAGACAGUUUAGGUAGUUAUUCAAUGUCAUUACGUGCCGUCCAGAUCAAGAAUUACACGGCAAGGAGAUAAAACUUUCAUAUGAUUUGUAUCUGAGAAUUUUGUUCAUCUUAAAGGUAGUUCUCAGUAUUUUGAAUUUUCGAAAUAUUUAUUAGCUUUCUUCGAUAACAGGGAAUUGCCUGAGCUAGGGUUCUUAAAAGAUACACUUGGUUGUCCAUUUAGGUCUUGACAUAUAUUGUACUGGUUUGCUGGUUUUGGAGGGUUCCUGUUGCCUCCAUAUCGCAACAACUUGUGCAACCCUUUGGUAACGUGUUCUCGAUCCAAAUUUACUUUUCGAGUCCCCUCUUUCCUAUUGAGACAGUACAUCUAUAACAAUUGAUAGAAGUUACUGAUUACUAUCUCUUGUUGCCCUGCAGGGAAGCUGAUAUCAUGGAGGGCCGGAGGAAUUGUAAACGAAAAUGUUAUGGUAAAUAAAGUUGGAAUUACUUUUGAUCGUUACUUGUCAUAUAUUAUGGUAAAUAAAGUUGGAAUUAAUUUUGAUCGUUACUUGUCAUAUAUUAAAGGUGCCUUAAAUAAAUGAUCUAAAAAAUGCCAGUCUCUUAUCACUUCUGUAAGAGUAUCUAUAUUUGCUGGCACUCUAAUGUCUCGUCAAUACUAUGUAGUGUCACUUUCGUGUUUAGACUUCCGAUGUUUGCAUAUUACGUAUCUCGAAGAGAUAGGCAUUGCUUAGCAUGCGAUAUAGAGGAAUCUUAAGCAUGGUUUUGAGUAUUGCUUCUGAUCCUUCAUGAUUUGUUUUUGCAGGUAGGAAUUAUUCCUUGGUUGAUAUUAUCUACCAGGGUUAGCAAGUUCGUAUGUCGACUUGCCAAGUUCUAGAGUUUAAAUUAUUCGUGUCCUGUCAAGUUUUUAUUGUACCGACGGAAACAUGAUUUUGUUCUGUCAUUUACUCCACAAUGUUUAGUCAUGAACUUAAGAUUGUUACCUACUCGUGUAAUUUGUACCAGUAGCGUGCAUUACUCUUUCGGUUGUCUGUGAAAUUGAGUUUAUCGUUGUAGUAUGCUAAAGGUUGUGCAAAUGCAGCAGCUCUUACAUCACAAUACAUACUUACAUAUAUAUAUAUAUAUAUAUGUUCCAAAUUUUUGAACAUUGCCAACUCACAAACUUAUCUACAAUGGAGCUAGAAGACAAACAAUUAACCUAACACCAUUUGCAAAUUUAAUCUGGACAGUACACUUGUCACUUGAUUACUACUAAACUUUAAAACUAAAGUAAACUUGUUGCUGCUUCUGCUACUUCUGUUGUUUCGAAUUCCAGUUACCAGAAACGAUUUAGGCUCCAACAGCUACUCGGUCGGCCGAGGCCUGUAUGUUCCCCUCAAGAGCAUCGAGUUAAGCAGCGAAAUACAUGAGUUACUUAUUAGCAAUACAAUGCCUGAAUACAAAUGGUGCAGGAAAUGCGGGGCCUUUAGUAUUUUUCUUUCUAAAGAAAGAAUGGAAUGUGCAAAGAAAUAGAAGAAAAAGCAACCAAGCACAAGAACUGCAAUGGCUAAUCCCGGAGAAUGACCACCAAGUACUGCGUAUGUGCCAGUAACGAAUGCAAUCACCAUUGCAAUCAAAGCCAACAUUGUCAAAGUUACUACCAUUUGAAACGUCUCAGAGAUUUGGGUCAUGUACUUUCCUUUUGUGUGAAUGGAGGAAUACAGGAGCACCAGGACAGAACAACUAGACAGGGCCAUGGCUAGUGUAUCUGUUAUAACAAAUGCUUUGAACGCUGUGUUUUUUGAUAGAAUUGGGGAACCCUGGUCCGAUCCUCCUCCGCUUUGGUAACCACCGGGCAUGGUAAAACUCGCAGCAAAGGUUACGGUUGCUAUCAGUGUAGCCACCACCAGAUGGGUUUCUCUUGCUUUCGUUAUUCCUACUCCAGUGUCUUUGCCACCUUGGUGUUCCUCCUCCACUUCAUUGCCAUCAGCGUUGUGGCUUUUAAUUCUGUAACCUGGUCCACCACCCCUUACUUGCAAAAGUUUUUUUAAAUCUUCCUGCAAGACAUAAAAGAUUAAUGUUAUCUUCACAGACAAAUCUAAGGAUGAAGUUUAUGACCACCCUUAUUAUUGGUUAUGUAAUUGUACGGACAAGUUAUCCUUAUUUGGAUAGCUUAGGAUUUACUUCAUGGACAGAGCCGGAAAGUUUUUUUUUUCAGUGGGGUAACAUAGUAACAGGCUUCUCUUCUGUAGUCUAGGACUCUAGUCUACUGAGUAGCCCAACUUUUUAAACAGUUUCACCAUUCGAUUUCUUAGCAUCAGUCUUCACCGUCCAAUUUAGGACUACUCAAUAGUCCCAGACAGUUGAAGAAAAAGUGCAUAAUAACAUAAAAGAAAAUUAGAGGUGAUACGUACCAGAUCAAGUGCGUCACUUAUGUUGUCCUCAUUAGCUAGAAUGUUGUCGAAAGCGUUUAAGUUUUUCUUGUUGAAUGACAUUAUAUCAAUUUUCGCAUCAAGUAUAAUAUCAUUCUUCCAGGGGAAGGGAUACUGAGCAAGGUAAUGGAUAGGUGCAUUGCCAUGAGCAUCCUUGUCAUUUAAGAGUAUGUUGCUAAGCCACAGAUCCGUUAACACAAAAUAAACUACGUCCUCUUGAUGGCUCUUUAUGGCAUAGUGAAGCACAUUUUGACAUUUGUUGUCGACCAGUUCACAACAAUCGGGGCAAUGAGUAAGAAGCUCUUUCAUUAUAUCUAGAUGGCCGUCGGACGCUGCAAAGUGAAGAGCUGUGCGCCCAUCAUUAUCAGCAACGUAGGCGGUAGAUUUAUCACAUUCCAAUAGUUGAUUAACCAUUGAAAAGUAACCAAAAUCUGCAGCCAUGUGAAGCGGAAUGCAUCCUCGUUCGUCUGCUGCUUUUGCCAGAGUUCUAUCCGAUUUUAGUAAUGCUCUCGUCAUUACUUAUGUAUAAAAAGAAAAAGAAAACACAAAUAAAUACUUCAAGACACAUGUAUUAAUGAAUCAUGAAAUGACAGAUAAAAAGGAAUAUUCUUUAACUAUUUUUUAUAUACAUUUACCUUCAUCAUUGCGGAUAACUGCAGCGUGCAAAGCCGUUCUACCAUUUGGGCCUUCAUAAGUUGGAUUUUUGCAACCUUCAAGUAUUUGAAGACAAUAAUGAGUGUAUCCCCUCUCGACAGCUAGGUAAAGAGGAGUAUCGCCGGCAUCAUUAGCAGAGUAGGAAAACUCAGGGUCUUCUUUGGUUAAUACCUCCACCACACCACAACAACAACAACAAAGCCUUUUCCCACUAAGUGGGGUCGGCUAUAUGAAUCCUAGAACGCCAUUGCGCUCGGUUUUGUGUCAUGUCCUCCGUUAGAACCAAGUACUCUAAGUCUUUUCUUAGAGUCUCUUCCAAAGUUUUCCUAGGUCUUCCUCUACCCCUUUGGCCCUGAACCUCUGUCCCGUAGUCACAUCUUCGAACCGGAGCGUCAGUAGGCCUUCUUUGCACAUGUCCAAAUCACCGGAACCGAUUUUCUCUCAUCUUUCCUUCAAUUUCGGCCACUCCUACUUUACCUCGAAUAUCCUCAUUUCCAAUCUUAUCAUUUCUUGUGUGCCCACACAUCCCACGAAGCAUCCUCGUCUCCGCCACACCCAUUUUGUGUACGUGUUGAUGCUUCACCGCCCAACAUUCUGUGCCAUACAACAUCGCUGGCCUUAUUGCCGUCCUAUAAAAUUUUCCCUUGAGCUUCAGUGGCCUACGACGGUUACACAACCCGCCGGAUGCACUCUUACACUUCAUCUAUCCAACUUCUAUUCUAUGGUUGAGAUCUCUCUAAUUCUCCGUUCUCUUGCACGAUAUAUCCUAGGUAGCGAAAACGGUCGCUUUUUGUGAUCUUCGCUAGAUUGCUCCGAUCAUUAGUGUGGAUAAGUAUAUAAAUGGAUAUAGAUAGGAAAGCAAACACAAGAUGUACGUGGUUCACCCAGAUUGGCUACGUCCACGGAAUAGAGGAGUUCUCAUUAAUUGUGAAGGGUUUACACAAGUACAUAGGUUCAAGCUUUCCUUUAGUGAGUACAGGUGAAUGAUUUAGUACAAAUGACAUUAGGAAAUAUUGUGGGAGAAUGAUCUCGUAAUCACGAAACUUCUAAGUAUCGGAAUGUGGUAUCGUCUUGACUUGCCUUAUCUGUCUCACAGGUAGAUGUGGCAUCUUCUCUGGAAGUACUCUUCCUCCAUCCAGGGGUGGUAUCUUUAACUGGUGGAGAUGCACAAGGUAAUGUAUCAAUUUCACUUGAAGCUUACUUGUAGUUUCAGGCUUGGUCAAGCGCGAUACAAACCAUGUAGUAGGAGUCCCUCAAGUUGCCGAGCUAGGGGAUUUGCUGAAAGAGGUGACAGACAAGGUAAGCAAUCAGAGCUCCGGCUGAUUGUUCACAUUCUCCCUAUCUUGCAGGCAGCAUGAAGGAUAAAGAGAAGAAAAAUGAGAAGAGAUGAUAUGGGAUACUUUUGCUUUUGAAGAAGUAACUUUCCACAGGCUUAUUCUUGAACUGAGCUGGAGGGUUUUCUGGUUUCCUCCAGAGUAUAAGGCCGACUGAAGAAUUUGAGGGUCAAAACAAGUCCAUCAAAUCUAGAGUACGUUCGACCCCUACUGAUAUGGGAUACUUUUGCUUUGACAGAGUAAUGGAUGUAUCGGCACGUGUGCUGUUACGCUUGUCUCCACAUGCUUCCUUGUAUCCUUCUCACUUGCCCUAUCUGUUCCUCAGGCAGAUGCGGUAUCUUCCCUGAAAGCAUAAGAUGUUGAAGAUGAGUACUCGAGAGCAAUGCCAGGUAAGUAAGUUCCAGGCAGUCAGUUCCUGGCUGGAAGCUUGAUUCCAAGUGCUGACUGAUUGCUCUCUUUCUCCUUGUCUUGCAGGUAAGAACAAGGCCAAAGGAAAAGACAGGGAAAAAGCAUGAUAUGGGAUACUCUUGCUUUUAACCCUGAUGAUAUGAGAUAUUCUUGCUCUAGUAUAACUUGUUUGCAGAGGUAUUAUCGGGGGGAAAGAAAGCUGAAUAUUUCGAAAGGCUUCGUUGAGAGUGCCCUCUCAUAUAUGAGGAAGGGUUGAGCAUUUUUGCAGGUCUGUCUGUCCGUUGGGGAUGGAGGUUGACAUAUAUAGGAGUCUCCUUAACAACAAGUAGUAAUGCUAUUCCUUUACCCUGUCAGAGCACUUUGAAAAAGUGGUCUGUGGUAUGUGGAAAGCUGAUGUUGCGUGUGAAGAUUACAGACAGCUUUAUCCAAGGAGAUCCGGCUCUUGUAGUUGGGAAAGUGUUGCCUCUUCGGUUUUCGAACAAGCAAUCCUAUCAGGGAUCUGGCUCUCGAGAUUCGGAGAACGAUGUCUCUUCGAUUUUUGAGAAAGCAAUCCUGCUGGGGGUCUGGCUCUCGAGAUUCGGAGAGCGGUGUCUCUUCGAUUUUUGAGAAGGUAAUCAUGUUGGGAGUCUGGCUCUCGAGAUUCGGAGGGCGGUGCCUCUUCGAUUUUGGAGCAAGCAAUCUUGUUGGGAGUGUUUUCUCGAAUGUGAGUAAAGGUUGGGCAUGUUUGCUAGUCUACCUUGCCACGAAGCACAGAGGUUGACACACAGGGACUUUCCAAUUAUCCAGCAAUGGUAUUGUUCCUUUACCCUCUCUUCGAUUUUUGAGAAAGUAGUCAUGUUGGGAGUCUGGCUCUCGAGAUUCGGAGGACGGUGCCUCUUCGAUUUUGGAGCAAGCAAUCUUGUUGGGAGUGUUUUCUCGAAUGUGAGUAAAGGUUGGGCAUGUUUGCUAGUCUACCUUGCCACGAAGCACAGAGGUUGACACACAGGGACUUUCCAAUUAUCCAGCAGUGAUACUGUUCCUUUACCCUUGUGGGUAAUAAUAUGGGGUAGCUAGACCUUCAAAAUUUAUGUGUCUAAACUUUGUUAGUGCUGUUUCUUUGCUAUUCUUUUACCCGUCUUGGUCAGAGCGAUGUAGUGGAAGCUGCAAGCUUCACGUGCUCAACUUUGGCAGAGAACUUUGGCAAAGUUAUCUGUGAUACACAUGAGCUACUAUUGCGUGUGGGAAGUGGGUGAUUGAACAGUAAGACUCAUGUGCUUUCUACUUCACCAGAAGUCUUCGACAGAAUGCCCAUAAUUUCCGCAAAGCUGAGUGUGCGUGUGACAGGUGCUGCCAAGGCUGGAAAAGUAGGUGCCUCUUCGAUUUCUGAGAUCGGCCCUCGUGGUCUCUGAGCAGCCCAACUUUUGAGAAAGCAAGCGCCUCUUCGAUUUCUGAGAUCGGCCUUCGUGGUCUUUGAGCAGCCCAACUUUUGAGAAAGCAGACGCCUCUUCGAUUUCUGAGAUCGACCCUCGUGGUCUCUGAGCAGCCCAGCUUUUGAGAAAGCAAACGCCUCUUCGAUUUCUGAGCAGGCGCCUCUUCGAUUUCUGAAGCUCCGUCGAGUGCAGAUUUUUUUAUAGGGGCUGGCAUUAAGUUCCAAAGCACACUUGAAUCUCCACCAGUAGAAGCUCCAUUCUUACACUUCUAAGAUCUUGAUUUGUUCGACCUCUUCUCUCUUCAACACCUUUGAAAAUGUCUGGCCCCUCCGACCGUCGUUUUGACUUGAACCUUGUUGAAGAGGCAGCCCCGCCUUCUCCAGACAACAUAUGGCGCCCAUCCUUCGUCUCCCCUACUGGUCCUCUUACCGUUGGGGAUUCCGUUAUGAAGAAUGAUAUGACCGCUGCGGUGGUGGCCAGGAACCUUCUCACUCCCAAAGAUAACAGACUACUUUCCAAACGAUCUGAUGAGUUAGCUGUUAAGGAUUCUCUGGCUCUCAGUGUUCAGUGUGCAGGUUCUGUGUCUAAUAUGGCCCAACGCCUAUUUGCUCGAACCCGCCAAGUUGAAUCAUUGGCGGCUGAAGUGAUGAGUCUCAAACAGGAGAUUAGAGGGCUCAAGCAUGAGAAUAAACAGUUGCACCGUCUCGCACAUGACUAUGCUACAAACAUGAAGAGGAAGCUGGACCAGAUGAAGGAAUCUGAUGGUCAGGUUUUACUUGAUCAUCAGAGAUUUGUGGGUUUGUUCCAAAGGCAUUUAUUGCCUUCGUCUUCUGGGGCUGUACCGCGUAAUGAAGCUCCAAAUGAUCAACCUCUGAUGCCUCCUACUUCUAGGGUUCUGUCCAGUACUGAGGCUCCGAAUGAUCCCCCUCCGGUGCCUUCUCUUUCUGGGGCUCUACCGACUGCUGCGACUUCUCCUAAGCAACCUUUGUGAAGGCUCUCUCUUGUUUGUUUAUUUUGACUCAUGUAUAUGUACAUAUUUGUAGCUUAUCGGGGAUAUCAAUAAAUAAGCUUUCCUUCAUUUCAACGUAUUGUGUUAAAUACACCAAAGCCUUCUUCUCUAAGUUCUUUGAAUUUUCUUUUGUUGGAGCUUUGUGAGUGGAGCAUGUAGGUUGAGGUAGUGUUCCCUUAAUUUCCUGAGUGAGGAAAACUUCUCGGUUGGAGACUUGGAAAAUCCAAGUCACUGAGUGGGAUCGGCUACAUGAAUCUUAGAACGCCAUUGUGCUCGGUCCUGUGUCAUGUCCUUCGUUAGAUCCAAGUACUCUAAGUCUUUUCUUAGAGUCUCUUCCAAAGUUUUCUUAGGUCUUCCUCUACCCCUUCGGCCCUGAACCUCUGUCCCAUAGUCGCAUCUUCUAAUCGGAGCGUCAGUAGGCCUUCUUUGCACAUGUCCAAACCACCGUAACCGAUUUUCUCUCAUCUUUCCUUCAAUUUCGGCUACUCCUACUUUACCCCGGAUAUCCUCAUUCCUAAUCUUAUCCUUUCUCGUGUGCCCACACAUCCAACGAAGCAUUCUCAUCUCCGCUACACCCAUUUUGUGUACGUGUUGAUGCUUCACCGCCCAACAUUCUGUGCCAUACAGCAUCGCCGGCCUUAUUGCCGUCCUAUAAAAUUUUCCCUUGAGCUUCAGUGGCAUACGGCGGUCACACAAACACGCCGGAUGCACUCUUCCACUUCAUCCAUCCAGCUUGUAUUCUAUGGUUGAGAUCUCCAUCUAAUUCUCCGUUCUUUUGCAAGAUAGAUCCUAGGUAACGAAAACGAUCGCUCUUUGGUAUUUCUUGAUCACCGAUCCUCACCCCUAACUCGUUUUGGCCUCCAUUUGCACUGAACUUGCACUCCAUAUAUUCUGUCUUUUGAUCGGCUUAGGCGAAGACCUUUAGAUUCCAACACUUCUUUCCAAAGGUUAAGCUUUGCAUUUACCCAUUCCUGAGUUUCAUCUAUCAACACUAUAUCGUCUGCGAAAAGCAUACACCAAGGAAUAUCAUCUUGAAUAUGUCCUGUUAACUCAUCCAUUACCAACGCAAAAAGGUAAGGACUUAAGGAUGAGCCUUGAUGUAAUCCUACAGUUAUGGGAAAGCUUUCAGUUUGUCCUUCAUGAGUUCUUACGGCAGUCUUUGCUCCUUCAUACAUAUCCUUUAUAGCUUGGAUAUAUGCUACUCGUACUCCUUUCUUCUCUAAAAUCCUCCAAAGAAUGUCUCUUGGGACCCUAUCGUACGCUUUCUCCAAAUCUAUAAAGACCAUGUGUAAAUCCUUUUUCCCAUCUCUAUAUCUUUCCAUCAAUCUUCGUAAGAGAUAGAUUGCCUCCAUGGUUGAGCGCCCUGGCAUGAACCCGAAUUGGUUGUCCGAAACCCGUGUCUCUUGCCUCAAUCUAUGCUCAAUGACUCUCUCCCAAAGCUUCAUUGUAUGACUCAUUAGCUUAAUACCCCUAUAGUUCAUGCAAUUUUGUACGUCGCCCUUAUUCUUGUAGAUAGGCACUAAAGUGCUUGUUCGCCACUCAUUUGGCAUCUUCUUCGUUUUCAAAAUCCUAUUGAAAAGAUCAGUGAGCCAUGUUAUACCUGUCUCUCCCAAAACUUUCCACACCAAAGUAAUUAAAGCGUACAGCUUCGUGCAGCGCUGUGUUCUUCUUGUUGUUGGUUUUCCUGAUGAGUUUUUGCUCCUGCAAGGCGGCAUCUUCUGAUGAGAUCGCACAGCCUUGCUCAAGGUCGCCUUGAUAAUAAGUUUUUGUAGCUAGGAGGAGAGCUCUAACUAUACCAGCACGCCCAUAUCUUGCCGCAAUGUGUAGGGCAGUAUCACCACUCUCGUUCUGCUGCCAUAGUAAUGCUGGACACAUUUUAAGGAUACCGUCCACAGUGUUCGUUGACUUGAGUAUCUCAUACUCAGAUUCUUUGUACGUUGGGUGCCUAUAGCAUGCUGUAUAGAUAUGAAGGACUGUGUUCUUGGUUGCAGUCAACAUUCUGUCCAGAUUCUUGCCUUGUUCCUUAAGGACAUCGAGAUUGCCUUGUUUUGCAGCGUUGAAAACAUCAGGAUCCAUGCUACUUAUUAAAACUGUACUAUUGUUGCCUUCUAAUUUUGUAGCUUCUUGGACGGUGGUUUGAUCUGCUAGCUCGAUCUGGUCACCGACAUCGGUUGAUAGUAACGGAGUAAUAGGACUCUCUGAUUGAUCAGCCAGAUUGGAGGCAUCCAUGUUGAGGGGUGAAGAGUGAUGCAGGGGGCGGAGAAAGGCAAAAUUACAACAGGGCCAGUUCUGUUGACUAGUCCAAGCUGCAAUCUGGUGGAGGUUCAUCACAUUGUUCUUAUUAUAUAGUCCUAUACAAUUUUGUCGCAUAUGAGGUUAGGUGCAUAAUUCUACGUGUUUUGUUAUUUUUAAUCGUUGGAUUCCCUAAACACGCUCUAACCUUUAAGUGCUAGCAAACUAGUUUAAUAAACAUAGUACAUGACAAAAUUUCUCUCCCCUAUGAGAGCUCCUCUUCCCCGUGAGAGACUUUCUCACCAUCGUGUCAGUGCUUUUCGUUCUCUUUAAUCUGCGUCAGCACAUGCCCUAACUUUGGUUAGGGUCGGUGCUAGUCCCAUGUUUUUUAUGUGUGUUUUGAUUCGGUGGUUUGCUUGGUUUCAGUUCUUUUUUGCUCUUCCUGUUGCCUGCAAAUUUUCCUCCCCUUCCCUACAAUUUUCCCGAUCAUAUCCUCUAUUCUCUCCUUUUGCCUUUGAUUUCACCUUUUUGAGACUUAAACCCCCAUCCCCCGUUUCUUCCAUAAUCUUUGACUCAUCCACCACCCUCUUUGAUCUAUACCCCUCCACCAUCUGCAUCUUUUGGUUCCGCCACCUCUAUCCUCAAUUUCGGUCGGUUUCCGCCUCCGUUUACUACGCUUUGUCGCGCAUCUUUGGCAGGGUGUGUAGAGCUUGAGCUCGGUGCUUGCACCACCACCCUUGUUGACCAUUAUUGGUCCUGCCUGUUGUUCACCCUUGUUUGCGUGCUUCUUGUUCUUGUGGCGGCGGUUCUUGCUGGUUCAUUGAGGAUGUUCGUAAUCUUAGGUGAUCGUGUUGGGAGGCAGUUCGUGAAGAUUGUUAGGUGGUUCUUUGACAGCAGCAGGAAGACUAGUUUCCUAGGGUUUUUCUGUUUGUUUAGUUUGUGUGUGCUGGGCUCCAAGGGUGGGCUUGGGGCUUUGUCUUUUGUGUGUUUGUGGCCCAUUUUUGUAAUUGUGGUUGUGGUAAUGAAUUUUACCCUUUGUCAAAAAAAAAUAAAUAAAUAAACAUAGUACAUUGCAUACAAUGUAUGUAUUAUCAAAUGGUAGGCAAGUUGGUAUUACUUAAUCUAUAAUUUACGCGUGAUGCAGAUUAGAGAUCAGCUUGUUGAUAUUAUUUACGAGAGUUAGCAGAUGAGAAAGCGAUUUUUAUACACUUAUUUUUACAUCUUAAGAGACAAAUAAAAACAUGAAUAUGUAGGAUGAAAAAGAUGAAGUGAGAAAAUCAUUUUAAAACACUAUUUAUUAUGUUUUAAUUAAUUAAUUAAUAAUUCAUUUGUAAACUAGUCCUUUCCUGAGUAGAUUCCACGAUUUUAAAUUGUUCAAAUGUGUGCAUAGGAUGACAUUGAAAUAUGUAUUGAAAGUGCUAUUUAGGGAUUGGGAGCUUUGCCCAUGGAAACAAAAACACAAAAUACAUUUUAUAGAACUCCAGUAAUUUUGAAUCAUUUCAAGGAAAUAUAAAAAUUUAAACCCGAACAAACUUAGCCCAACAACAAGCAAACCAAAAUUCUAAAAUUUCAGCCAUGCCCCCAACUUGUUAUAUAACCAACGCCAAAACUACAAACUGACACCAUUUAUAAAAACUUCAAACUAAUUUUAGAUCCGUAAAAAUUAAUUUUUGCACUUCUGCAAUUUGGUCUUAUUAUAUUUCUAUAAAAUUCUGUUGCAUGUGAUGUGACACACCCCGACCUAAAUCAAAGUGUGCUGGCCGUCACAUGAGAGUGACGUAACCAUGUGCACAGUGCGGAAGCAAUAAUGAUAUAGAGAAAUACGAAUGAAUAAAAACCAAACUGACAGCAGUACUAGCUAAGAUAACGUGCUAGUGCGAGAUUAAGUGUGAAAUACACAACCAAAGUAUAAAUAGGCUAAGUGCAGUCAAGCAGGACAAGUACUAAUUAUACAACACUCAAAGGUGAUCCUACAUUUAUGAUGUUCUGUCAGAACCACCGUCGAAAUCCCCGUGAGCCACCAAAGCACUUCUACCUAAAACCUGGAGGGGCACAAAACAGAAAGUGUGAGUGGGCAAAAAUAAAGCUUUUCAAAAUCAUUUCAUUUCUCAAAAGUUCUAACCCCUCGUCGUAAAACCUGUAUAAUUUCCCAAAAAGAUAUAAUAUAUGCUAUAUCAGAAAUCAUGCUCAGGAUGAAAAUCCAUAGAAAUAUACCAUGCCAAAGUAUCUAAAUGAAAUGCCAUAAAUAAUCCAGUUAAAAUAUAUCAAUGCCAGAUAUCAUAUCAGCCGAAUCCACCUAACGUGACAUGCACGGCUAAGUCUAUAGCUCAUAAUCAAUCUCAACCAUAUCAAAUCAUGCACACGAGUCGGAACCACCUAAUGUGGUCUGCACGAUAGGGCUAGGUGUAAAAUAAAUAUGCUCUAGUGCUACGAUCACGUGAAGACUGUGCGAAUGAUCGCGGGUCACUUACGAGUCGUAACCAUCUAUAAUGGUCUGUACGACAAGCCUGUGCACCUAACUUGGUCCAAGGUGAGCAUAUGGUGCGGGAGGUGAACAUCACGUGAAGGACUGUGCCCUAACUCUGGGCGGGAGCACUAACACCGGGGUGCAGGUUUAUGAGCUCUCAAUGCAUCACAUCAUAUCUUUCAUAACUGAAGAAAUCUCAUAUCUUUAAUUUAUGAACUUACCUGGCAUUUACAUGUGUGUCCGCAACAACAAUCAUAAAUAUAUGCAACUACUAAUGCAUAAAUAAAAUAGGCAAAUACUUUGCAUGGCAUUUCAAAACUUAUAAUCAUUCAAUUUCAUUUUUUGGGAAAAAUCUCAAGUAUAUAUACGAAAAACCAAAAGCCCACUCACUGAUAUGUCGAAGGGUCGUAGCCCCAAAGCCUCGAUUGAUGGCGCUCGUCCUCAGGAUAGGUCUCACCUAUAUGCGAAAUAACUAAAUAAACGUUAUUUAAAGCACAUACGCAAAACUAGGAAAUAACUUCUCAUGCAUUGCUCAAUUGGGGUAUUUGAAUAUACCACAAUGACCUACUCAACCUCAGGAAUACCCCCAAAUUUUUAGAAAUUUUUUCCGAGUACCCACACUAGCCGGCCAAAGCACAACCAAACGUGCGGCCCACGCUCAGGCACGUGCCUGUCACAGGGGACGGAAUAGUUAACGCCGUCAGGGAAUAUUCUGUUAAAAACAAGUAUAUUCCGUUAAAGGUCCCUGACGCCGUUAGUCUCCGUUAGGAAUAUUCCGUCAUCUUUGACGAAAUAUUCACCUUCGUCUACCUCUGCUCGCCGGAGACCGUCGCCGUCUCCGGAAACUGGGAAAAAGUUUAAACCUUCAUAUCUUCUUCAUUUUUCCACCAAAACUCAUGAAAUUUGUACCAAAAUAAAACUUAGGACUAGAAGAACAAAACCUUACCACUUUCAAGCCUUGAAAUCCACAGAAUUUCGCCGGAGAAACCUCGAUAUUCCGGCCACCUCUGCAACUCGUUUAACCCGAGCUUCCCGACGUCCAAAUCGCUCCAAAGUUACUCCCCGAGCUUCGUGAAGAUGUUUUAAGACUUCCUAGGACCUUAAAAUUCACUGAAAGGUCCACGAUCAUGACUGCAUGAACAGUGCUCGCAAUCGGGGUUCUCUGGUUCUCAGGUUUUACGAGCUAUCACGUCGAACUAAGGGUAUGGAUGAGCUCCUGGGCUCACAGGGAACACAAAGACCACCUUUACAGCCUUGAUUCGUGCUUGCAAAGGUUGGUUUGAAGUCUGUCCGUACAAUUGUACGGAAAUGGAAGGAAGUCCGAGAGAGGUAGGAGAGAGAGAGUCAACGGGAGAGUGGUAUGGGUGAGUGUGAGUGUAUGUGGUCCAGCUUUGAGUCACUAACAAUAACUAAACCAUUAACUUUAAGUUCCAAAACUUAGGAACUAACUAGGUUAGUUUAGAACCCAAACUCAAACCACAACACUACAUAAUGUGCUCAACAUCCAAGGGUAUAAAAGGAAUUUCCACACUAUCGUGGAUAAAAUAAUAUACGUUCGGGACGGGCUGUCACAUGAUGUGAGGUUAGGGGCAUAAUUUCGACGUUUUUUGUUAUUUUUAAUUAUGGGAUCCCCUAAACACGCUUUAAUAUAUGUAUUAUCAAAUGGUAAGCAAGCUCACCAUGGGAGUUCUUUUCAUGCAGGCUCACUGCCAUGGGAAGUUUCCGGAUCAUCCCUUUGAGUAGCAUUUUGUUUCAGUUGCUACAAAGUUUUGCAUAUAAUGGAAUUAUAUCAGUGCUUCACGACACAAAAAUAAAAAAAAUUAAAAAGAAAGGUAAGCAAGCUGGCAUUUCUUAAUAGGGAUGUGCUAUUCACACACAUUUUUUUACUUCUCACACACCCUUAUUAAUUUAUGUUCGUUGAUCUUCUUCAAUUCAUCUGAUCUGAAGGCCGAAAACCAAAAAGGUGUGGGAGAAGUAAAAAGAGGUGUGUAGAUAUCACACCCCUUCUUAAUAUAUAUAGUUGACGCACGAGGUAGACUGGAGAGCCCAGUUGCUGGUUGGUAUUAUUUACGGGGGUUAGUAAAUGGGAAAGCUAUUUUUGUACACUUACUUUUACACUUCGCACAUUAUUGGUUAUUUGUGACUUUUAGAUAGAACAUAACAAAGUGACAAAUAAAAACAUGAAUGUGCAGGAUGAGAGAAAUGAAGUACGAAAAUCAUUUUCUUUUAGUAAAUUUGCUUAUCGACUUGUCAAGUUUAUAGAAAUUAAAGAUGGUUUAUGCCAUCUUUAACAAUGCUAAACAAGCUGGCAUUUUGUUCUUAAUAAUUACCAUUUGCCAAUCCUAACCUUUUAUUUUGUUUUAAUUAAUUAAUAAUUUAAUAAUUUAUUUGUAAACUAGUCCUUUGCAGAACAGAUUCCACGAUUUCCGUUCAAAUGUUUUGCAUCGGUGGACGUGAAAUAUGUAUCGAAAGGAAUCGGGAGCAUUACCUAUGGAAACAAAAAACCACAACAUUGUUAAGAUUUAAGCUGCAUACUAGCUUGAAAUCAACAUUGCAGAUGACUAUCCUGCAAAUGCAAUUGAAAAGAAUAAUGAAAUCGGUUAACAGUGAAGAACUUACUAAUUUUAGUAAUAGCCGUUAGAGUUUAAGUUGUAACGACUAGUUUCUUCUUUCUAUUUUUAGUAAAUAGCAUAGUUGUUGCUCUUAUCUGUUAGAGUUGUUGUAUUGUAUCUUUCGAUCUUCUCCCAAGUGGAAGGAUCAGGGCCUCCGAUGGCCUUAAUGGCUGGAGAUGUGUCCUUACUCCUUAAAAUGUAGGAUCUGAACAAUAAACCAAGUUAGGGUUAUAACCUCGAGUCGUACUUCCCUCUCUUCAAUUUCAAUCAGAAUUAUUAGAAAUUUGGUCUUAUUAUAUAUUCCUAUAUAAUUUUGAGGGGGUGAAGGGCAAAAAUUACAAGAAGGCCAGUUCUGUUGACUAGUUAAGCUGCAAUCUGGUGGAGGUUCAUCACUUUGGUCUUAUUAUAUAUUCCUAUACAAUUUUGUUGCAUGUGAGGUUGGGUUGGGUGCAUGAUUUCUACAUUUUUUGUUAUUUUUAAUUCUUGGAUUCCCUAAACACGCGCUAACCUUUAAGGGCUAGCAAAGUUGUUUAAUAAACAUACUAAAUUGCAUAAAAUGUAUGUAUUAUCAAAUGGUAAGCAAGUUGGCAUUUCUUAACCUGUAGUUGACGCGCAUUAUAUGCUAACCGGAGAUCAGCUGGUUGAUAUUAUUUACGAGGCAAUUGAAAAAAGAUUUUUGUACACUUGUUUGCGCAGCCUGCACACUCUUGGUUAUUUCUGACUUUUAAAUAAAAUAGAACUAAGAGACAAAUAAAAACAUGAAUGUGAUUGAAGGUCUUUGUUUUAUGAAAAUGCUAUUUAGCUGAUUGAGGUCUUCGUUUUAUGAUUUGUUAAAAGAAAUUGACAAAAAGGUACUUAUAAAAAAUUGAAGGCCUUUGUUUUAUGCAAAUGCUAUUUAGGUGAAGGUCUUUGUUUUAUGUUUUUUUUUAAAAGAAAUUGACAAAAAGGUACUUAUAAAAUAUUGAGGGUGCGUUUGUUGCACCGGACUGUCUCGGACUGGACUAGCUGCAGGGACUAAGCUGGACUGGCUUAGACUAGACUAAGCUGGACUAACUUAGUGAAGCGUUUGGUGCAGUGUCAGGACUAAGGAACAGACUAACAACAAAUUCUAAUAUUAUAUUAUUUAAUUUAUAUCUAUUAAUAUUUUAUAUUAUUUAAUAAAUAUUUAGUAAUAUUUUAUUAUUACUUCCGUCUAUUUUCUCAUUCUAGAAUCAUCAUUCCAUUCUCAAUUGUUUUCCGUUCUUCCCCUCUCCUCUAUCUUCUUAAAUUUUCUCCGCCCCUUUCCCUUCUUCCCCUCUCCUCUGUCUUCCUAAAAUUUCUCCGCCCCUUUCCCUCUGUUUUCUUCCUAAUUUUUCUUCAUCCCUCUUCCUCUUUUUCUUCGUCCCUCUCCCUCUUCAUCUCCAUCUUCUUCUUCCUUUUGUUCUCUGUUCAUCUCCCUCUUUUCUUCCUUUUGUUCUCCAUUCAUCUCCUUCUUUUCUUCCUAAUUUUUCUAAGAACCAAUUGGUGAAUCAAAACCCGAUCAGAAUCUGGGUCAUCUGGGUAUUUAUGGGUCUGCUUCUUCGGCAUCAAUGGCAAAGGUCUGCGAAAAAGGAAUCAGGACUUGGUGCAUGUGUGAUUAGAGCGACUGUUAUGCAUUUCAUAUGCACAACGAUUUUGUAAUUUAUUUUUUUUGUUGCUUUUUUGUUUAGAAUUUUGGAUUUGGAUAUGAUUUGGAAAAUGGAAAAACUGCAAAAUUUUGCCUAAAAUUUUUCCUGUUUGUUUUGAAUUUUGCUGGAUAUGGGUUGAAAAAUGGUAGAUGAGAGGGGCGAAGUAGGGAGUUGGUGGAUGGGAAGGGUGAAGCGAGGAGGGCGUAGCGGAGAGGAGUGGGCUUAGCAGUCCGGCCGAUGAGGGUGAGGAAGACGACGAUGAGGGAGCACGGCAAGGACGACGUUGAGGGAAGACGCAUAGAUGAGGACGAAGGGAAGACAGGACGAAGGGAAAUCUCUCGGUUUGCUCUGGGCUUACGAAUCCGCCCAAUUUUGGGGUUGCUCGUUAAGAACGGCUAAGGAGGUACUUAGUCCCCGCGAGUCCGGGUUAAGCUCAUUAAAGCUAAUCCGGAUGCACACCAAACGUCGGACUAUAGUCUAGUCCAGUCCAAGGCCUCUUAAUCCUGUCAAACAAACGUGCCCUGAGGGUCUUUGUUAUCUGAAAAUGUUAUUUAGCGAUUGAAUGUCUUUCUUUUAUGUAUUGUUAAAAAAAAGGACAAAAAAGGUAUUUAUAAAAAAUUGAAGGUCUUUGUUUUAUGAAAAUGCUUUUUAGGGAAAGAGAUCCUCUUUGGAUCUUUCCCUCCAAAGCCCAUGGAUCAAGUGAUCUGGGCCUUUAAAAUUUGAUCCAACGACUAAAAACAGAGAAGUUAGCAAAAACUUUUAAAAGUUAUAAUAAUUUUUUGCCGUUGGAUCAAAAUUUAAAAGCCCAAAUCACUUGAUCCUUGGGUUUUGGAAGGAAAGAUCCGGAGAUGAUCUCUUUCCACUAUUUAGGGAAUGAAGGUCUUUCUUUUAUGUUUUGAUAAAAAAAAAUUGACAAAAAGUACUUACAAAAAAUUGAAGGUCUUUGUUUUACGAAUUCAAGGUCUUUCUUUUAUGUUUUGUUAAAAGUUACCAUUUUACUCUCUGAAACUCAAAAUUCAUUAUACUGUGACUUGUUGACUCUCUAUUCUCCCUGAAACUUAUAGGUUGCCUCCUAAAACAUAUAUAGGACCCAACACCUAAUAAGGCUAUGUCACAUGUGCAAUAAAUUUGAUUAUGAACUCAAUUGUGCGACAACAUUAAAAAAUCAGAGAAUAUUGAGUUUAAAAGAAAUUGAAGAGAUGAAAAAAAUAAAAAAUAAAAUGAUUAGUAUACCUAGAUCAAAUCCACACAAGAAACUAAAAGAUCUAAGGCAAUGUGAAGUGAAUUUUGAAUUUUGUGGAAACAACUUUCAAGUUUUAGGAAGCAAAUUGUGGUCAAAAUCGAGUUUCAGGGGGCAAGGUGAAGCGAAUUUUGAGUUUUAGGGGGCAAAUUGACGAGUUUUGAGUUACAGGGAACAAAAUAAAAUUAAAAUCAAGUUUUAGGGGGAUUAGAUAAAAACAGAAAAAAAGUACUUUAAAAAAUUGAAGGUCUUUGUUUGAUGAAAAUGCUAUUUAGGGAUUGAAAGUCUUUCUUUUAUAUUUUGUUAAAAAAAAUUUGACAACAAAGUACUUAUUAAAAUUGCAGGUCUUUGUUUUAUGAAAAUGCUAUUUAGAGAUUGAAGGUUUUUCUUUAUGUUUUGGUAAAAGAAUGGACAAAAAAGUAAUAAAAAUUGAAGGUCUUUGUUUUAUGAAAAUACUAUUUAGGGAUUGAAGGUCUUUCUUUUAUGUUUUGUUAAAAAUAUUGACAAAAAAGGUACUUGUGAAAAAUUGAAGGUCUUUGUUUUAUGAAAAUGCUAAUUAGUGAUUGAUGGUCUUUCUUUUAUGUUUUGUUGAAAAAAAUGGACAAAAAGGUACUUACAAAAAUUUGAAGGUCUUCGUUUUACGAAAAUGCUAUUUAGGGAUUGAAGGUCUUUCUUUUAUGUUUUGUUAAAAAAAUGGACAAAAAAGUAAUAAAAAAUUGAAGGCCUUUGUUUUAUGCAAAUACUAUUUAGGGACUGAAGGUCUUUCUUUUAUGUUUUGUUAAAAAAAUUGACAAAAAAUUACUUAUAAAAAUUGAAGGUCUUUGUUUUAUGAAAAUGCUAUUUAGGGAUUGAAAGUCUUUCUGUUAAGUUUUGUUAAAAAAAAUUGACAAAAAGUACUUAUAAUUGUUUUAUGAAAAUGCUAUUUAGAGAUUGAAGGUCUUUCUUGUCACAGCCCGUCCCGAAUGUUUAUAUUAUUUUGUCCACGAGGGCGUGGAAAUUACUAUUUUACCCUUGAGCGUUUGGUGGUGGUGUGUGUAAAUGGGCUAAGGAUGUGGACCACGUGAUUUCUUUCCUAAGUGUUUGGAUCCAAUUAGAAUUUAAAUUUUUAUUUGUUUUGUUUGGUAGCCCAAAUCUAGACCACACACACACUCUCACCCUCCUGUUGACCCUCUCUCUCUUCCCGCUCAGAUUUCUUCCAUUUUUCGUACAGUUGUACGGACAAUCCCUUAACCAAAAUUUUCAUGCACGGAUCGAGGUUGUGGUUGUUGUUUUCAAGUCCCUUGCAAGCUUAGGAACAGAGCCAUACCAUUAGUUUGGAGGUUGGACCUCGAAAACCCUAGAAACUCGCGAGCUCCGGUGAGGUGCAUUGUUCACUCGACGUGAUCACGAAGGUUUCAGGUAGUUUUGAGACUUAAGAAGGUUCUAUUCUUGCUUUUCUAGCAAGUUGGAUAGAUUUUGGAGUGGUUUUGACGUUAUAACGUUUGGGUUUUUAUAGUUGCAGAGUUUGGCUGGUUUCCUCGAAUUUUUUCGGCGAGAUUCCAUUGGUUUUAGGAUCUUAAAGUGGUAAGAUUGUGUUCUUCUCAUCCUAAGCUUCAUUUUGGUACAAAUUUCAUGAAUUUUGGAUGAGAAAUGAAGAAGAUAUUGAAGUUUUAAGUUUUUCCAGUUUCCGGCGAUCGUAGCGGUGGCCGGCGGCUGCUCCGACGAGGAUCCCCGGAGAAGAUGAAGAAUAUUCCGCCAAAAUUAACGGAAUAUUCCUGACGACGUAAGGUAACAUCGUAAGCUUCUGUUAGUAUUUAAUGGAAUAUUUCUGACGGCACUGGCUUGCGCGUGGGGGCGCGUCUGGCCGUGCCAUUGCCAGAGCGUGAGGGGGCGGGGUACUAAAAAAAAAUUUCUAAAAAUAUGGGGAUGUUCCUGAGGUUGAGUAGGUCAUGGUGGUAUAUUUAUAUACCCCAAUUGAGCAAUGUAUGAGAAGUUAUUACCUAGUUUUAUUUAUGUGCUUUAAAAUAACGUUUAUAUAGUUGUUUCGCAUAUAGGUGAGACCUAUCCUAAGGACGAGCGCAGUCAAGCGAGACUUGGGGGUUACGACCCUUUCACAUAUCAGUGAGUGGGCUUUUGGUUUUCAGUAUAUACUUAUAUACUUGGUAUUUUUCCCAGAAAAUGUGUUUAAAUGAAAUUAUGUUUUGAAAUGCCAUGCCUAUUGAUUUAUGCUUAGAUUAUGAAUUUGUAUGGUAUGUACAUUUGUGAUUUGACGCGGUGGACGCCCAGGUAAGUACCAGGUGAGUUGUAGAUUGUUAUUAUGAAUUGAUGAUUAUGUGAGAUGUGUUGAGAACUUAUGAACUUGCACCCCGGUGUUAGUGCUCCCGCCCGUGGUUAGGGCACAGUCCUUCACGUGAUGUUCACCUCCCGCACCAUACGCUCACCUUGGAUCUAAGUUAGGUGCACAGUCCUGUUGUACAGACCACUAUAGGUGGUUCUGACUCAUAGGUGAUCCGUGAUUAUUCGCACAAUCUUCACGUUAUCGUAGCACUAAAGCGUAUUUACUUACACCCAGUCUUGUCGUACAUACCGCUUUAGGUGGUUCCGACUCGUAUGCAGACAUACUUGUUGAGCUAUAGGUUCAGCCGUACAGGCCACUUUAGGUGUGUAACAUCCCACAUCACCUAGGGGAGUGGAUCUUGUAAGCCUUAUAUGUAUAUUCUCAUCCCUACCUAGCACGAGGCCUUUUGAGAGCUCACUGGCUUUGGGUUCCGUAGGAACUCUGAAGUUAAGCGAGUUCGCGUAAGAGUAAUCCCAUGAUGGGUGACCCAUUGGGAAGUUCUCGUGUGAGUUCCCAUAAACAAAACCGUGUGGGCGUAGUCGGGGCCCAAAGCGGACAAUAUCAUGCUACGGUUAGGGGUGGGUUCAGUUUAAAUCGGUUCGGUUUUUUGCCAAAACCGAAACCAAACCGAAAUUUCAGUUCGGUUCGAUUCGGUUCAUUUUUUUUUCGGUUCGGUUUUUUCCGGUUUGGUUUCGGUUCGGUUUCGGUUUUUUGUUUUUUUUUUCAAAAAAUGAAAAACAUUCAAAUUUUAAAUUUUAACAUAUCCAACACAAUUAUAACAUAAACAUUCUAACUAGAAUCAAAGACAAUGAAAAUAAACAUUUAAAGUUGAACUAAAAUCAUCAAUCAAGUAUUCCAAAGUCCAAACUAACAACCUCACAACACAAAAAUCGUACAAAUGACUUAGAAAAGUUAAAUUGUAUGAUAUUGUUCAAAGAUCAGGGUUGUUUGCUUGUAACUGCAUGUUGACAACUUGAUUAAUAAAAGUAAUGCGUGGGUGGAUUUAUUUAGUGUGUGUUGGAUUCUUUUCCAUCACAAAUUACUCAAGUAAUCUACCCAAAAUAAAUGUUUAUGGAUUCUGUUACAUGUUAUAUGAGAGUAGAUUUGGAAAAGAAAGCUGGAGCAGAAGUAGACAGUGCUAUGGAGAUGGAUGUAGGUACUUCAGGAGGAGGUUUGGUUCCAGAACCUUAUAUGGGGGAGAAAUAAUAGGUUAGGGUUUAGAGUUUUUAUAGGCCUUUUUUAAUAUUUUGAGCUUAAAGUUUGGCAAUACAUUGGGUUUAACACAUUUUAACUUACAAAUUGGGUUUAGAAAAUAAUACCCACAACAAAUAAUUAAAUAAAAAAUUUAAUUUAAUUAAUUCGGUUUGGUUCGGUUCGGUUUGGUUCGGUUUCUAGAUCACUAAAACCGAACCGAACCAAAAGAAUUUGGUUCGGUUUAGUUUUUUCGUUCGGUUCGGUUUGGUUUUCGGUUUUUUGAACCCACCCCUAGCUACGGUGGUGGAGCGAGCCCGGGAUGUGGUGGACCUCGGGCCGGGAUGUGACAAUUUGGUAUGUAUAUUCAACCGUACAUGCCACUUUAGGUGUGUAACAUCCCACAUCGCCUAGGGGAGUGGAUCCUGUAAGCCUUAUAUGUAUAUUCUCAUCCUUACCUAGCACGAGGCCUUUUGAGAGCUUACUGGUUUCGGGUUCCGUAGGAACUCCGAAGUUAAGCGAGUUCGCGCAAGAGCAAUCCCAUGAUGGGUGACCCACUGGGAAGUUCUCGUGUGAGUUCCCAGAAACAAAACUGUGAGGGCAUAGUCGGGGCCCAAAGCGGACAAUAUCGUGCUACGGUGGUGGAGCGAGCCCCGGAUGUGGUGGACCUCGGGCCAGGAUGUGACAAUUUGGUAUGUAUAUUCAGCCGUACAGGCCACUUUAGGUGUGUAACAUCCCAUAUCGCCUAGGGGAGUGGAUCAUGUAAGCCUUAUAUGUAAAUUCUCAUCCCUACCUAGCACUAGGCAUUUUGAGAGUUCACUGGCUUCGGGUUCCGUAAGAACUCUGAAGUUAAGUGAGUUGGCGCGAGAGCAAUCCCAUGAUGGGUGAUCCACUGGGAAGUUUUCGUGUGAGUUCCCAGAAACAAAAUCGUGAGGGCGUAGUCGGGGCCCAAAGCAGACAAUAUCGUGCUACGGUGGUGGAGCGGGCCCGGGAUAUGGUGGACCCCGGGCUGAGAUGUGACAAGGUGGAUCUAGCUGAUAUAUUAUUUUUCAUGAGUUUAUUUCACCUGAGUUACUUAUUCUGUUAUAUUAAGAUAUUUGGCAUGACAUAUUCAUUGAUUUCGCUAUUCUGAGCAUGAUUUUGAUAUAGAUAUGUAUAUAUUCUAUUUUUUGGGAAAUUAUACAGGUUUUAUGGCGAGGGGUUAGAACUUUUGAUAAAUGAAAUGGUUUUGAAAAGCUUUGUUUUUGCCUACUCACAUUUUCUGUUUUGCGCCCCUCCAGGUUUUAGGUAGGAGUACUUGUGGUGGCUUACGAGGAUUUGACGGAGGUUCUGACAGAUUAUCACCAAUGCAGGAUCACCUUUGGGUGUGUAUAAUCAGUAUUCGUCCUGCUGGACUGCACUUAGGCUACUUAUGCUCUGAUUGUGAACUCACACUUAAUAUCGCAUUUGCACCUUAUCUUAUCUCGUGCUCUAGUUGUUUUGGUUUUUGUUUACUCGCAUUUCUUAUAUUAAUAUUGCUUCCGCACUGUGCACAUGGCUACGUCACCCUCACGUGACGGCCAGCAUGCCUCGAUCUAGGUCGGGGUGUGUCAUUUCUUUUAUGUUUUGUUAAAGAAAAAAAAUUUAUUGAGACAAUACUUUUUAAUUAUUUCAAAGAGAAACAAAUUUUAAUAAAGUUUAAAGUGACAUCAUGGACAUUUUCCCUGUUGGUGCGUAAGUGACCAAAUUGCCCUUCUAUGCGUGACUGACUUUGUUCAAUUUCGUUCCAGUUUCUUUCUCUUUUUUUUUUACAUUUGAUUCGAGGAUCUGAGUUCAUGUUUGAUUGUGUUAUGAAGGAAGGUAUUCUGACUAAAACCCAUGUUUGAAUUCUAAUUACACAUGGCCAGUCAUCGUCGAUUUCGAAGGCCGAGUUCGCGUCGUCGAUGCUAGCAAGAAUGUGAGUAUGAUCGUGAAGUUUAUCUGCAAAAAAAAUCUUGAACAAUCAUGGCCACAACUGGUUUUGUUCUCUUUGUUUCUUAAUUUCAGAUCUACAAAGGAAGAAAAAAGAAGAAUGAUAAGUCAAAAAUGGGUCUCAAUCCUUCUAAUAAUUCUUCAGUUGCACCAAUUAAAAUUCGAAACGAACCCAAGAAAACCAGGGAACAUGAGAAUUUGAGCCUAAUUAGUCAAAGAAUCUCAAACCUCAUAAAGUUUUCAAAACCAAAAUGCAUGUUCCCAAAAAUUACCUUAGCUAGUUGGGUUUGAUUCACUGAUUUUGUAGCAAAAAACCGUUUGUCAAACCAACUUGUAGAGUGAAAGUUCUUAAAUUUUCUUUCUGAAACUUGUCCAAAGAAGAAGAAAUGAAUUGGAGAAGAUGAAGUUGUGAAUAAUAAGGGAUUCUGAAGGGGGUGACAAAGAGCAAGGAAAAGGAUUCGGCGUGAUAGUGACCGUUCAUCAUAUAUCGUGCGGUAAAAAAUCAUUCAAAAUAUAAAUUUAAAAUUAAAUAUGGAUAGUACUUAAUAAAAACUGACCGUACGAUGUACGAUGAACGAUCACUAUCACGGGAUCCUUAGGAUUCCCAGAAAAAAAAUUCGGCGAGGAUCCUUUUCCGAAGAGGAAUAAGAGGUUAGGAGGUGGGAUGCGGGAAGGGGUAUGUGGGGCCCACUUCCCACUUAAUUUUUUAAGUUAUUUUUUAUUUUUAAAUUAUUUUCUUUUAAAAGUGUACAAACUGUUUCUACUAAAAAAAAUUAUACAAACUGGUUCUACUAAAAAAAAUAUACAAAACGGAUUCUACAUAUAUUUAAAACUAAUAUGCAAAAAUGGUCGAGAAGAUGCUGGACUGAUGACAUGUAUGUUAUUUCUUUGAAAGUAUACAAACUGAUUCUACAAAAAUAGUUGAGGACUGGUUGAACUGAUUCUGCAAAAAUGGUUAAGGACGAGUUGAACUGAUUCUGAAAAUGGUCGAGAACUGAUUCUGCAAAACUGGUCAAGGACAGGUUGAACUGAUUAUGCAAAAAUGGUUGAGGACGAGUUGAGCUGAUUCUGCAAAAAUAGUCAAGGAUUGAUUGAACUGAUUCCGCAAAAAUGGUUGAAGACGGUUGAACUUAUUCUGCAAAAAUGGUCAAGGAUGAGUUAAAUUGAUUCUGCAAAAAUGGUCGAAGACAGGUUGAACUUAUUCUGUGAAAAUGGUCGAGGACGGGUUGAAUUGAUUUUGCAAUAAUGGUCGAGGACAUAUUGAACUGAUUCUACAAAAAUGAUUGAUAACGGGUUGAACUGAUUCUAAAAAAUGGUUGAUGAGUGAUUGAACUGAUUCUGCAAAAAUGGUCGAUGACGGUUUGAACUGAUUAUAGUAAUAAAUUAUACAAACUGAUUCUACAUAUAGUUUGAAAACUGAUUCUGCAUAAAUAGUCGAUGAUGAGUUGAGUUUAUGACACAUAUUAAUUUUGUUAGAAUUGUGAGGGCUGAGUUCUAUUAACAGCCUCAAAACCUUAGGUGUAACAUCCCACAUCGCUCAGGAGAGUGAAUCCUGCAAACCUUAUAUGUACAUGCUUAUUUCUUCCUAGCAUGAGGCCUUUUGGGAGCUCACUAGCUUCGGGUUCCAUCGGAACUCCGAAGUUAAGCGAGUUCGCGCGAAAGCAAUCCCAAGAUGGGUGACCCACUUGGAAGUUCUCGUGUAAGUUCCCAGAAACAAAAUCGUGAGGGCGUGGUCGGGGCCCAAAGCGGACAAUAUCGUGCUACGGUGGAGUCGAGCUCAGGAUGUGGUAGGGGUCAAGGUCGGGAUGUGACAAUUUGGUAUCAGAGUCAAUCCCUGGUCGGAUGUGUGCCGACGAGAACGUCGGGCCCCUAAGGGGGGUGGAUUGUAACAUCCCACAUCGCCCAUGAUGGUGGAUCGUGUAAACCUUAUAUGUACAUGUCCAUCUCUUCAUAACACGAGGCCUUUUGAGAGUUCACUGGCUUCAGGUUCCAUCAGAACUCCGAAGUUAAAGGAGUUCGCGCGAGAGCAAUCCCAAGAUAGGUGACCCACUGGCAAGUUCUCGUGUGAGUUCCCAGAAACAAAAUCGUGAGGGCGUGGUCGGGGCCUAAAGCGAACAAUAUCGUGCUACGGUGGAGUCGAGCCCGGGAUGUGACAUUAGGGGUAUGAUUGGUAAUUUAAAACAAUGUUUCCAUGUUUUUGGGCUCUUUAAAAACUAAUUGAGUUCCUUUAAAUAUAGUGAAAGUUUUUGCCUUUAUACAUAAAGCUCCCUUUAAAAUGACAGCAAAGUACUUAUUAAAAUUGCAGGUCUUUGUUUUAUGAAAAUGCUAUUUAGAGAUUGAAGGUCAUUCUUUAUGUUUUGUUAAAAAAAUGGACAAAAAAGUAAGAAAAAUUUGACGGCUUUUGUUUUAUGAAAAUACUAUUUAGGGAUUGAAGGUCUUUCUCUUGUGUUUUGUUAAAAAAAAAUUGACAAAAAAGUAUUCAUAAAAAUUGAAGGUCUUUGCUUUAUGAAAAUGCUAUUUAGUGGUUGAUGGUCUUUCUUUUAUGUUUUGUUAAAAAAUUGACAACAAAGUACUUAUUAAAAUUGCAUGUCUUUGUUUUAUGAAAAUGCUAUUUAGAGAUUGAAGGUCAUUCUUUAUGUUUUGUUAAAAAAAUGGACAAAAAAGUAAUAAAAUUUGAAAUGCAAAUACUAUUUAGGGACUGAAGGUUUUUUAUGCAAAUUAUUUUAUUGUUUAAAAAUUGAAAUGCUUUUUUUUUAUGUUUUUGUUUGUUAAAAAUUGAAAAUUUGUCUUUUGUUUUAUGAAAAUGCUAUUUAAAUUGAAAGGUUGAUUUUUAUGUUUUGUUAAAAAAAAAAGACAAAAAAGUAAUAAAAAAUUUUGUUUAUGAAAAUACUAUUUAGGGACUGAAAGGUCUUUCUUUUAAAAAAUUGACAAAAAUUUACUUAAAAAGGUCUUUAUUUUAUGAAAAUGCUACUUAGCGAUUGAUGGUCUUUCCAUUAUGUUUUGCUAAAAAAAAGGACAAAAAUUGAAGGUCUUUGUUUGAUUUGCUAUUUAGGGAUUGAAGGUCUUUCUUAUAUGUUUUGUUAAAAAAAUUGACAAAAAGUACUUAUAAAAAAUUGAAGGUCUUUGUUUUAUGAAAAUGCUAUUUAAAGAUUGAAGGUCUUUCUUUUAUGUUUUGCUAAAAAAAUUUGACAAAAAAGUGAAAUUUACUUAAAUGCACACCUAGUUGGCAUGUUCAACUAUUCAAAUCGCUUCCAAGGUGAUUGUGAACAGGUUGAAUUCUAUCAUUCCAGCAAUAAUCAUGUCUCAUCAAAGUACAUUUGUGCCGGGCAGGCAAAUUGUGGACAACGCAAUUCUAGCUAGCGCUUUAACACUUUCAUUUUCAAAACAAGAUUAGGAAAAAUGAAUUCUUAGCGUUAAAAUUGAACAUGAGUAAGGCGUAGGACCAAAUUAAAUAGGAAUACAUUUGGAGUGUACUGCUAAAAAAUGGAUUUUGUUCGGCAAUGCGUGAAUUUAAUCAUGUCCUGCGUCACCUUUGUCACAUAUUCAUUCCUAGUCAAUGGUGCUUCAAGGAGAUAUCUUCGUCCAACUUGGGAAUUGAGGUAAGGGGACCCCUUUCGCCCUUAUUUUGUAUGGAGUAGGAUUUUCUUCCCUCCCUUUCAAAUCCCCUCUUAUUUCAACUGUUAUUAUUCCAAUCCCUUCCAAGCAACGUUAACUUCUGGCGUUUACUUCUUUAUAGAGAGAGAAUAUAAAGAGGGAAGGAAAAUAGAGAGAUAAGGAGACAGGAAGGGAGAGGAUUUGGAGAUGCGCCCAAGGUCUUUCAGCUUUGAUUGGCCAAGAGAGAGUCAAGGGCUGAUUCAGCAGAUAUAUAAAGCGGGCUCCAGUCGAAUGGGCUUGGAAUAAAGCCCAAAACAUUGAGCCUAAGCUCGUUCUCAAAUUUUAAAGAUUGGAUCAAUGGGUCGGUUCAAAGCCCAAGAGACUGGUGAGUCACGGACCCAAUAACGAGUCUAGGUCAACGGAGGCUCGUAUAUAUCAAAGCUCGAUAAUCUGGUUUUCCUUUCGAACAAUCGCAAUUAGGGUUUUCUGGAUCACACUAAAAUCCCCAGAGUUUCAGUUCUUCGUUCUCCUUCAGAGACUCGAAGCUACCUUGGAAUUCAAACCGCUGCAACCAUGUACGGAUCGAGAGGGUAAGCAUAGUUCGAUUUUGUAUGCAUCUGUCUGUUUCUUGCGAUAUAAUUGAUUUUUUGCUGCGUUUGUAUCCUCUGAAAUCUGUGGUUGUUUAUCUUUGAACAUAAUUGAUGUUUUAAUUAGGGUUUUGAUGAUUCUUGGAUCAGGAAACUCAAUCAAAUAGAUAAAAUUGAUCAAGAAAAUUCAAUGAAAUAGGUAACAUAAUUGGGAUUUUUUUUCGAAAUCAAAGUAGAACACCUAGAGCUUGGCUAGUUCUUGGCCUAUAUGUGUACUUCAUCGAAUAAGUAGGCCGAAUUUGAAACUUGAAUUGUCUUUCGAGGACUGGAAAUGUAGGUUAGGGAAAAUGUUGCAGAGUUUAUGAUUUUCAUGAGCAAUAUGUGACUUGAGCAAAUAGUUCAUAUAUUAGGCGGUGGCGUGAAUUAUUAAAGCCGUAGAGUAUGUAUGAGAGAUUUGAUUGCGUGAAUGAGAGCGCGAUAUUUCUCUCUGUGAAAUCCCAUGUGAUUGCUUGCAUCUGUUAGCAUAAGUAGAUUGAUAUCUUGUUUAUAGGAAAAAAGGGGUUUUCUUUGCUUUGCCAUGCAUCUGGGUUUAUUUCUAUGUAUAUUUGUUUGAUAUGGGGUUGGUGGAUAUGAUUAUUAUUUAUGUUGGAAUAUCAAAUCUAGGGUUUUAGACAUUAGGUGACAGGGAAGUGUGUGGGUCGGGUUCGGUUUUAUUAACAGGUUGAGUGGGGGAUUAUCUCUUUUUUGGGUAUUUAAGGGCAAUGUUGGGAAGCGGGGGGGUUUCGGACGGGUACGAGGUCGGCUCAAAGAGACCAAGAAUGAUGGAUCCCUACUUCGCAGUGAGCAGCGGCGCAAGUGGCUUUCAUCCUUAUGGCUAUGGUGGGAAUUUUCAGCCCCCAGUUUUUCCAGUGGCCCGUCUCAGGGGACUUCCAUUCAACUGCACGGAUAUUGACAUCUUCAAGUUCUUUGCUGGACUGGAUAUUGUUGAUGUGUUGCUGGUCAACAAGGGUGGACGGUUCUCAGGAGAGGCCUUUGUUGUUUUUGCUGGACCCAUGCAGGUUGAGCUUGCUCUACAGAGAGAUCGGCAGAACAUGGGUCGUAGGUAUGUCGAAGUUUUCACUUGCAAGAGGCAGGAGUACUACAAGGCUGUUGCAGCGGAGGUAAACCAUGAAGGAAUUUAUGAUAAUGACUAUCAAGCAAGCCCUCCUCCAACUAAAUCAAAGAGGUUCAGCGACAAGGAGAAAAUGGAGUACACUGAAAUAUUGAAGAUGCGCGGCCUCCCCUUCUCAGCAGAAAAAUCUGAAAUUCUUGAGUUUUUCGGAGAAUUCAAGGUUGUAGAAGAUAGGGUGCAUAUUGCCUGCCGCCCGGAUGGAAAAGCUACCGGAGAGGCAUAUGUGGAGUUUGUCUCUGCAGAAGAGGCGAAAAGGGCAAUGUGCAAGGACAAGAUGACAAUUGGUUCGAGGUACGUGGAGCUUUUUCCAUCGACACCAGAUGAAGCUAGACGGGCUGAAUCCCGAUCAAGGCAGUGAUUAAGCGCUAUGGUCGCGGAUUUAAGGUUUAGAUCUAUAUGUGCUAUUUCCAUUGUGUGGCUUGGGCUAAAACAUUUUUCUCUUUAGUUUUAUAUACAAACAAUAAUUGUUGGUUAAGUUUAAGUACUUGUGCGAACAAAAGGAAGAUGACGUUUUAUUUCGUAGCAUCUCCUCCCACAAUUGUUGGUUUUUUUUUUUUUUUUUUUUUUUUUUGUUUAACCUACUUAGUGUUUUUGUGCUUGGUCACAUUAAAAUGUGAAAGAACUCGCCUUGCGAAAAUCUAAAAACCGUCAUAAAAUCUAUUUUCAUGGAAUAUUGCGAAGUUGUUAUUAAUUUGUAUGUUUUCAAACUCAAAAAUUAAAUUUGAUAAAAGUGGUGCAUUUUUUUUUACUUAAUAAAUUGAAAGAUCGCUUCUGAAUGACAAUAUAUUUCUAAUCGCACACGCAAAGUCUUUUGAAAUUUCAUUAAUCUCAUUUUUCACAGAACUCACUAACCAUACACAUCAAGAAGAGUAUUAUGUAAAUGUAAUGGGCAAAAAGAAUUUCAUUCCAGCUGAGUUCUAGCCCCCCCUCUUUUCUCUUAUAAUUCUUAUUAAUGUUUUGUUUUCAAGCUUAAAAAUUCAUUGAAAAAGAAUUACUAUUAUAUGUGAAUCAAUCAUUUGUAAGACCGCUUCUGAAUGACUUAUAAAAUUCUGCUUGUCAUGCAAAUAAUUCUUUCGCAUAAACUCCACAAAUCUUGCUUUUUGAUAUAUAAAAAAAAAAGAAAAAAAAAGAAGUUAUGAGUUUUAAUUGGUUAUGCAAAUUUUACAAUAACCAUCAUAUAACAUAUUCUGAUGAAAUUUAUGCCCCAUCAUAAGCGUCUUAAAAUACACGUAAUAUGUUUAGAACACUGUAACAUGUUUCGAAGAUGUUUUAGCCAACAAAAAUUUGUCUUGGCUAUGUAAAACGUUGCGCUAGUAUUUUUAUUGGUGUUUUUGUUUUGCAAGCAACACCACACAAUGUGAGCAAGUUAUUUCUUCACCCGGAGUUAGGGGUGGGCAUUCUCACGGGUUACCCGACCAACCCAAGCAAAACUAGUUGUGUUAGGUUUUAUCUUUCAAAUUUGAUUUGGUCAUAACCCACCCCCCGUGUGAAAAGGGGUGACAUUCGAUUUAUUAAUCCUCAGUUCCGUUGGUAUUCGACCCACCGACUUGUAUAAAUAGCAGCAAGAGAAAUGUUAAGGAGACUUGUAUCAAAAUAGAAUUUUGUCACCUUAAAUUUUGGCAUGAUGUUUUAUGGUAAUGAUAUGAGAAUUAAUCUUAAACUGUGAGUUGAUAGAAAUUUAUACAAAUUUAACUACAAAAGUCCCCAGCAUUUCUCCUAACGGCAAUAACUUUUAAGUUUUUUAAUUAAAAUGAUUCAUGAGAUUUGAAUAACUCUUUAUUUUGUUCAUGAGAUUUGAAAUUAUUAGAACUGAUUCCUGAGUUUGUCUAUCAUUGAUCACUUUAGUUCUUUCAUGAAAAACCUUCCUUACAUAAGGAGAAAAUGACAAAAAUAUUCUUAAUUUUGUCAAAUCAUUUUGACUCAUUGUUUACUAAAUUAAGCUUGUCAUUAACAAAAAUAUUUCACGGAAUGAUCAAAUGAUUGAUGGUGAAAAAAAAUUAGAAAUCACUUAUAUUAAUUUCAAAUCUCAGAAAUCAAAAUAAAGAGUUAUGCCACAUUCAUAAACCAUUUUGACUAAAAACCUGGAAUUGGAUCCUCGCCGGAUCUAAUUCUUGGGGAUCCUAGGGAUCAACCCAUAUGGGUCGUUGAUCAAAAAUUGUGCGAUCACAAUUUUUUUCUUUUUUAUAUUUUUCACGCAAAACGAGACUAUUUUACUUUUAAAAUAUUUAAUUGUGACCGCACGAUUUUUAAUAAACGGUCUACGUGGGUUAAUCCCUAGGAUCCCAAGUAAUUAGAUCCGGCGAGAUCCAAUUCCUAAAAACCUUAUCUUUUUUAAAUAGUGGUAUGUAGAUCGGCAUGUUGCAUGCGCUUAUAAUUUUGACUAAAAACCUUAUCUUUAAAAAAUAAAAAUUAAUGGAACACUUCCGUACUAUUUAUUUUAACAAAAAAAUCAUAUUUUUAUUCUAUAAAAAUUAAUCUUAAUAUUAUUCACUUACAACACAUUUUUAUUAUUUUCGUUAAACCUCAAAUUCCCAAAUCCUUUUGGUUAGUUUUUUAUUUUUUUUAAUCACCUGCAAUCUCGCAUUAGAAUUCUGCGAGCUAUUUCGCUGCGACUCUUCGUCCUCCUUCCGGAUUCCCCAGUAAGUUUUAACGACCUUCAAUCCACCGUCUUCCUUAAACCGAUUUGCUUUUAUUUUUCCAUUUUUCGGUUCCGGCUUCUCGAAUUUCAUUGAUCUCAGCUGCCCAUUUGCUCUGUAAUCUGUAUUUCUUAUCUUCCGAUUGGUUACUGCUUACAUUGCACUUACAAAUCUGAUUUGAUAAUUUAGUAAAUAUAAAGAUCGAAUCUUUAAUUUAAGUAGCUAAGCAGUUGACGUGCUUUUAAUAAACCCAUGUUUGUUUGACUGAGAAUUUGAGAUCUUCUACUCUUUUGGGCAUGAAGUGAAUUGCUAGUGAUGUAAUUUCGAUAUCGAAACGGCCCCCAAAUGGAUAAUCUGCUAUAAGAAUCAAUACCCACAACUUAUUUUUCUUCGAAAGUUAGAUAUCUGAGCUUAGUUUUGUAUAAGUAUUGUAUUAACAUUGAGUUUCUUGUUUACUUGCUUUGUUAUCUUAUAGGUUUGGUUUGGAUUGUGCGUAUUGGCGUGCCGGGUCUGUUAGUUUUAAGUAAAUUUAUAGUCUCUGACCUUGCAAAGGCAGGGUCUUUAACUGAUAUUUGCAACCAUAUCGACCCAGUGCCAUGAGUGACUCAUCUUUGUACGAUCCAAUCGAACUCGAAACCACCACCUUUGACCUUAUUGUUGUUGGGACAGGCCUCCCUGCAACAGUAAUUGCCGCUGCAGCCUCUGCUGCCGGAAAAACUGUCCUCCACCUUGACCGGAACCAUUUUUAUGGCAGCCAGUUUGCCUCUCUUCACCUUGAUCAGCUCACCUCCUUCAUAAAUUCCCAUGCUACUCCGCCCUCUACCAUCAUCGAUACUACCUCUACAAGUAUUAGCCAUGAUUACACUGUCUUAGAUGUCACCCUCCGAUCAGUAUACUCCAGCAUUGAGACUGCCAACUAUGCCCCAGAAAUCCUUGCAGAUCAGUCCUCAAAGUUCCUUAUUGACCUGGGCGGGCCCAGGGUUUUGUUUUGUGCUGACAAAGCCGUUGACCUUAUAGUUAAAUCGGGUGUGGACUCGUAUUUGACCUUCAAGAGCAUUGAUGUGAGCUUCAUUUGUGAUGAGAGUGGGGGGUUAUCCAAUGUGCCAGACUCUCGAUCAGCAAUAUUUAAAGACAAGAGCCUGAGUCUUAUAGAGAAGAAUCAGUUGAUGAGAUUCUUCAAGCUUGUUCAGCAGCAUUUGGCAGCUUCCGCUGGCGAUGAUGGAGGGAGUGAAAGUUCAAAGAUUUCCGAGGAGGAUUUGGAGAGUCCCUUUGCUGACUUCUUAAAGAGGAUGCGAUUGCCACCCAAGAUUAAAUCGUACAGAUUACAUUGCCUUUCUCUCUCUGUUAGUGACAGUACUUUGUUCCCUUGCCUUGUUGAGAUUACUCUACUUUGCUGUGUUUAUAGAUAUUUCCAUUGCUUCAGCAGGCUGUUACUGUAUUCUGGCUAUUGAACCAUUUAUAGGAUACCCCAUUAGUAUGCUUGUUAUAUUGUUUUUAUGUAAAAAAGAAAAACAAUUGAGUUUUUAUUUUUUAAUAUGUUGUUUUCCCAACAAACUAAGCACAAGUAGUCUUUUUAGUAGACUACAUCAAGAAAGCAGCUGGUUCUUUUUUAUCCUGAAAAUUGUUUCUAUUAUUGCUCUUCAUAUCCUGGAAACUGUUCCUUCACUGCCUUGGAUAGUUCUUGUUUUCAUUAUUCUGAGAACUUGUGUCAUUUUCUUCCAUAUAGGAUUAUUCUGUAUGCCAUUUCCCUGGCAGAUGACGAUCAGGACAGCUUGGAAGUUUGUAAAACUGUACUUAAGACAAGAGAAGGGAUGCAGCGUUUAGAUCUCUACCAAAAAUCAGUUAGAAGGUUAGUUGUCUCAUUUUGUUUUGUACUUAGAACAUUUAUUCUAUGAUGUUUUAGUUUCUGUGUGAAGUACUAUUGUAAUGAUGCUCGACCUAGUACCUAUAUGGUAUUGAUACUAUGUACUAAACGUGUUUGCUUUGUAUAUUAUCUAGCGACAAUUUGAAGAUUGCUAAGAGUUAUGUUUUUCAGUAAUAAAAAAAUUGAAGAAACGGUUAAAUAUUUGACAGCCAUGGUUUAUGAUUAUAGAAAAUAAGUUCAUCUAUGUAGAAGGAAAAACAAGGAGUAGAAAUGGGUAGUAUCCUGUUGAUGUCAUUGAAACUUAUAUGUAAGAAUAGGGACUGUUCAAAUUUAGUGUUUUUCUUAUUUGAACCUAAUGAUUUCAGUGUAUCCCUUGACUCAAAAUUACGCGCUUCAAAUUUAUACCAAAGAAGAUAUUUAAAUCUGUAUGCUACAAGUAGUUUCUUUAUCGUUCUUUUUUCUUAGGUUUCCAAAUGUGCCUGGGGCUUUGCUAUAUCCGCUUUAUGGUCAUGGUGAGAUGUCACAAGGCUUUUCCCGUUGUGCUGCUGUUAAAGGUUGCAUCCAAGUAAGUUCAAGUUGAAGUAUUGCUACCUAAUUUCGAGGAAAGUAUCCUAAACUGUUGUUGGCCUGUCCAUACUUCUUCGUAUCUAUCUGUCUUAAUUCUUUAUUUAUUGUUGCGCCCACAUGUGCUCUCUUAAUUAACUUUUUUUCAAUAUGUUUUUACUUUCUUGAAAAUUUUCGGUUUGUCUCUGACUGUAUCUUCCAAAUUUGUGAAUUAUAUUACUUUCAGAAAGAACAUUAUUUUAGCUUGAUGUUAUAGCUCUAUUGUUUCACUUUAAAAUGGGAUGGACUUAUGUUCAUGUGCAUUAAUUCCUGCUAAAAUGAGUCAAAGCACGACGUUUCGCUGGAACUAUAUAUGCACAAACAUACAUCUAUAUUGCUGCAUUUCUUACCUGUAUCUGAAACAUCUCUCAUCCAGGUUCUGCGAAUGCCUGUGACUGCCCUGCUUAUGGACAAGGUAAUGGGUGUACUAAUGAUUGUUCAUACUAUAACAUAUUUACUGAAAUAAACUAUUGUUACCAGAAAGUUUCAAAUAGUUGAUGUGUAUCAUCGCUCGAGCUUUUGCAGGAAAAUGGGCAAUAUAAGGGUGUUAGAUUAGCUUCAGGCGAGGAAAAGCUUAGUCAUCUGCUGGUUUUGGAUCCAACCUUGACAGUCCGAUUGCCCCCCACUUCAUCUUCACCAGAUUUGAAAGAAACUCUUCAAGUUUUAAAUCUGAAAGAUGAUAAACGAAAGGUGGCCAGGGGAAUAUGUAUUACAACCCGUUCCUUGAAGCCAGAUGUAUCAAAUUUAUUGCUUGUAUAUCCUCCUAGAUGUAAGACUUAAAUCUGGUUAUGUUAUUUUGCUUCUUUGAAAUCGACUACUAGAACUAAAAUUGCUUGUCUCAAUUCCUCCCCCAGCUUUGUUUCCUGAGCAGGAUACUUCAAUCCGGGCUAUCCAGAUAGGUGGCGGUUCGGACAAAUUGGCUGUUUGUCCAUCAGGCAUGUAUGUUUAUGAUCUGGUUUCCUGUAGUUACGAUAUGAAACUGUCUAGUUACUUGGUUCUACUGCCUAGAUGUUACUGAAUUUAGGUGGCUAAAAGGAGUUAUUAACAGUUACCACUCCUUCUUUUGUGAUCGUAUGGAUUAGAUUUAAAUGGCAAAAAAAUUUAACCCACCCUCAAACUUUUGAGGAAUCUGUUAAGUUUGACUUUGUUUGCCUUCUCUACUUCAGGUUUGUAUUAUAUUUCUCUGGUUUAUGUGAUGAUGCUGAGCACGGGAAAAGGUUACUACAUGCGGCCAUGAACACACUUCUCACUCUUCCUAUAUCUGCAAAUCCUGAAAGUGGUUCCGCAGUUCAAAGUGAAGAUGCAGAAGUAAAACCCACACUACUUUGGAGUACGUUAUACAUUCAGGAGCUCACAAUGGUGCACAAUGUACGUAUGGACAAAAGUUUGUUUCCCCGUAAAUUCUGUCUUGCACUUGUUUGAUGCUGUUUUGUUCUUGGCGCUGUUUCAUAUCGAGCUAUGAUUUACAUUGAUUUCAGGGUGAACAUGAAAACAUCUUCUUCACUCCCGUGCCAGAUGGAAAUCUUAACUACAAUGAUCUCGUAGAUUCAACUGCGGCGGUACAUAUUCUUUUAACUGACUAUUUUUGCUUCAUAGCUCUUUAUGCUUAAUUACACGUUACCUUUCACACCUAAUUUUAACCCUUACGACUGGUUUGGUAUUGCUGUGCUUUUAAAAAAAACUGCUUUUGCUGUGCUGUGAGAAUAAACUCAUUUUUGCUGCAUCAUGUUUUCAGCUUAUUUUCACAGGUUUGGUAUUGCUGUGCUUUUAAAAAAAAACUGUUUUUGUUGUGCUGUGAGAAUAAACUCAUUUUUGCUGCAUCACGUUUUCAGCUUAUUUUCACCCAAAACUGUGAAAAUAAGCUGUUUUUAAGUAUUUACCAAACACUUUUUUGAGCUCGGCUUUUUUUUUAUAUCCACUUUUUAUAAAAGCACCCCAGUACCAAACCAGUACUAAAUCUUGGUGUUGGAUGCUGGUUCUCGACAGCUUUUCCAAAAGAUGUAUCCCGAUGAGGCAUUCUUUGCGGAGACACCCUCCUCGCCGGAGGAGCCUGAGAAUCCGGAGGAUGAUACCGAGCUUAAUCUAGAUGACUAAUGGAGGUUUGUCAGAUUCAAGUCAGUGUAUACUGCAUACUGGGGGUCAGUAAAUCAUCCCCACAACGCAUUGCCACAUGAAUAUGCCAGCUGUGGAAAUAGGACUUGUAGCAUCUUGUACUCUAUAAGCAAGAAAAUAAUGUCCCUUUUUUCUUCCAAGAUUCUUGCAAUUCCCUACUUACAUUGUUUGUCAAGAUUGCAUUUUGCCUUUCAAUUUUGUUGACAAGAAGAUAUUGAAAAUGAAAACGUAUAUAGGAAAUUUCUGGCUCAGGAAAGAUCUUUUGUCAAGCCGGCUGUUCAUAAGGGCUGGUUUGAUAUUGUUGUGCUUUGAAAAAAAAAAAAACUACUUUUACUGUGCUGUGAGAAUAAGCUCAUUUUUGCUGCUUCACGUUUUCAUUUUUUUCACAAAAAACUGUGAAAAUAAGCUGUUUUUAAGUGUUUACUAAACAUUUUUUUGAGUUUAGCUUUUUUUUUAUACUAACUUUUUAUAAAAGUAUUUCUGUACCAAACCAGUACUAAAUAUCGACAAACAUAUUGGGUCGGAUUAGUUAUUUGAUCAGGCGGUCUGAUCUCAAUAGAAUUUGCAAUUUAGAGAAACAGAAAGGCCUUACAUGCAAAAUACAUAAGAAGCACAGAACUCCCGGUGGUCCAACCGUCCCUACCAUCCAAUCCCAUCAAAAGUUGUGCAUCAAUGGCUGUUUCUGCUUCAAUGGAAGUUGCAAACAUAUCGAACAAGGUAAAGUUAAUUAAUUAAUUAUUAUUUCCAGCUCCCAUUUUCGCCACUUCUCAAACAUUCCCAAAGUAGUUGCUAACGUUUCGUGACCAAGUUUUAUUUUACUUUGACCAAAAUGUCCCUGUCACUUUUUCCAACUAUUUGAUUAUGUCCAGUGUUUAAAUUUUUUUCUAUAUGGUAGACACUUUCGCGGAAGAAAAAGGACGGUGAACACACAAAAGUGAAAUUUUUUUUUUUUUUGUGGAUUUUUUAGCAUCUUAUAAUUUAAGGUCAAUUACUGUGCCAACAUUAUAAAAUGUUGUACUAAAAAUAUGGAGAGUUCGUAAAUAAUCCCACUUUAUAGAUAGAUCCCUUUAGCAUUUCUCUUCUGUAAAAAUAUAGAAAAAAUCGGAAAGAUAUGAAAACGGAGGUGAAGUUUAAACUUUACAAGAUAUCAGAGAAACUCUUAACUUUCAGAUAAUCGAUAGAUUUAGUUGAUAUUUUCGACAUAUGAUUUAUUUAGUUGGUAUCAGAAUUCGAACCUACGUCAGGUCAUAUAAGAACUUAACUCAUUUCUACCACUGUGAUAAAAAUCACUUAUUCUAAAAUUUCAUUUUAAAUAUCCAAGAAAAACCAAUUUCGACAUGUAUAUAUAUUUGGGAAAGGGAUCCUCUCCGUAUCAUUUUCACCAAGUUCACUCAUUCAGAUGAUUGAAAUUUACUCCAAUGGUUAAAAUUAUUUUAAUUUUUAAAGAAGUUCCUUAGCCAUUAGAUUAAAUUUUAAUGUUCCGGAUAAAUGAACUUGAUAAACUUGAAUGAAUGGAAGGAAUUAGAAAAAUAUCCCUUUCCAUAUUUUUUACCGAUACCGAUAUUUUAUUCGCGGGGUGCGUUUGGUACGUGGGACGGGACGGAACGGGACGAGGCGUUCCGUCCCGCGUUUGGUGCGCCAAAAAUGGGUGGAACGGGUUGUUCCACGGGACAUAUUUUGGGUGUUUUUGCGUCCCACCUCCCUCUGGAACGGGUUUGUUCCACGUCUGUGGAACACAAUGUUUUACCAUUUUAAGACAAAUAUACCCCAUGUCUUUUUAAAAAAUUACACCUUCGUUCCGUCCCGUCCCUUCCCGUCCCGUCUCGUCUGCGUACCAAACGCACCCUAAGGGUGCGUUUGGUACGCAGACGGGACGGGACGGGACGGGACGGAACGGGACGGGACGGGACGGGAAGGAACGGGACGGGACGGGACGGGACGGGACGGGACGGAACGAAGGUGUAAUUUUUGAAAAAGGCAUGGGGUAUAUUUGUUUUUAAAUGGUAAAACAUUGUGUUCCACAGACGUGGAACAAACCCGUUCCAGGGGGUGGAGGUGGGACGCAAAAACACCCAAAAUCUGUCCCGUGGAACAGCCCGUUCCACCCAUUUUUGGCGCAACAAACGCGGGACGGAACGCCUCGUCCCGUUCCGUCCCGUCCCGUCCCGUCCCACGUACCAAACGCACCCUAAGUGCGAGUUUUUAUGGCAUAAAGAGGUACCGUGAGGAAUGACUGAUGCACUUUAUUGUCAUUUUCCAGGUCAGAAGAGAACAGAGGUUGGCGUGGCAGUCCGCGUGUAUUAAGUAGCUACAUGACAAAAUCAUAUAUUUUCUAAUUUUUCGAAGAAAAAAUAAUCAAUUUAUUGUACAAUUUAGCCUAAUUUUUUCCCUCUUUUAAUGUGAAAAUAUUGUUGUAACUAAAAAACCAUUCACAAAGAAAAUUAUAUAUUUUCCUAAAUAAACACAAUUUUUACCAUGAAGAUUUUUAUAAAACUAUUAAGCGUACGUAUAGAUUAUGUUUGAAGAAAAUGUUAAAUCAGAAAAACGUUAUUAUAAUUUAACGUAUUUUUUAAAAGAGCAUUAAGUUCCUGAAUGCUUAGGUUACGUUAAUAAUUAUUACUGUAAAACUAUUAAAAAUAUAUAUAAGUUUGUUGUUUAAUUAGCACAAGAGGAAGAUACGAAUUUAGACCACUUCUAAUAUUGAAAAAAUAAGUAUUACAUUUAACGCAAUUUAAAACUCUGUAUUAAUUCAGGAAGUUUAUAGAUUUGAUAACAUUAACUAUUAUCGUCAGUCGUACCAUGUUUUGAUCGAGGCCAUUUUAAUUUUAUUUCAAAUUUCAGGGAGAAAAAAACCUGGAAUUAUAGAAAAGGGCAACAAAAAAAAAGUAGGAGAAAAAAAUUACAAAUUUAAGAACUUGUUCCAAAAUUCAAAGCCUGGGUUUUUGCAUUCGUUCAUUCCAUUCCCUCUCUCUCUGCUCACCGCUUUGAGCUGUCACUACUCUAGCAGCAAUGCACUAGUCCUUCUUCCCUACUUUUACCACCCCCACAGCACUAUGAUCUUCUUCUCUCCCUUCUUAUGGAUUCCUGUGACUGUGAUUGUGAACCCCAUUUGCUGAGAUCGCUCCUCGUCUUCAAGAACACCAUCAACCACGGUGAGUUUAUCAAAACCUACCAUCCCCAUUCUCCAGUUUUUCGUUUUUCUAUCCGUAGAUUGAAUCUUUCUGCUCUUCUGCUUGUUGGGUUUUGUUUGUUUUCUCAUUUUUUUGAAAAAAAAAUGGUUUUUUGUUUUUGUUUUUGUUUUUUUGGCAGAGUUGAUCAGGAGCUUGCAUGUGUACGGAUUGGAUGAGGGGAAGAGAAAUGAGGUGGAGAGAGAGUUUGUGUUCAGAGAAAAUGGGUUGUAUGUGGAGCUGCCAGCUGAGCCGCUUUUGAGAUUGAUGAAAUUUCCAGCUUCCCAAGUGCUCCAAGGGCAUGUCAACGGCUGUUGGGUCUGCAUUUUAGCAUUUCAUGAAAAUUCACCACCUGAUUUUACAUGCAUUCCCUCUAUACUUUCAGUCUCCAGGUACCCUUUCAGUCUAAUGAAUUUAAUCUUAUGUUUUUUCUCUGUUAUUGAUGUUUUUCAUGCUCUUGUUCUUUUGGUUGGGGGUAGUCAUUGUUUGUGUUUGUGUUUGUGUUUGAGAUGCAAUAAUUGCAGUAUUAACCAAUUACGGAUUUGUAAACAUGUCGUUAGAAUGACUAACUUUAUGUUUAAGCCUGUAAAUGUAGAGGAGAUUGGUUAGAAAAGAAAUUCAUGGUGGUAGUCUCCUCAUUUCGCCGUUGGAAGAGUUGGUGGUUUGUUGAAACUCUUUUGUUUUUGUGCGGCUUUAUAUUCCUUUUUCAGGCAUUGCCAAUCCUAGUUAACUAGGUACUGACAAAUGAGUAAAGAUGUCCAUCUUAUCGGGUUUCAGUGCCCGAGAAAUUCUUCCAGGAGCCAGUGUGUGAAGCGCCCCUAUCGCAUUUGCCCCUUGCGUGCUUUACAAGGGGUGCGUGGAACGCCCUUUCAGAUUUGCGCGUAUGUGAUCAGUUAUUAUGAGAAGCGUAACGCGCUGGUCAUGUUACCUGUUUUAUGUUAGAAUUCGUCCAGCCUGGCUUGAAGAGAUUGAAUGAUAGUCAAGUGUGAAACCUUCAUUAGUGUUGAAAUAUGCUCGUAACGUCUAUGCUCUUUCAAACUUAAUCAGGAGGGUCUACUGUUGAAUUUGAUGUGCAUCCCCUGAGGUAUUAGCAGUUCAAUAUGAAAAUUCUCUAAUUGAAAUUUAUCUAAGAGUCUUAGAGUUCAUCGAGUGAUCUCUUCCUCCGCUCUAUUGAUUGAUAUGUCGUUACGAUAGGAUAUGAAAACAUAUUUGGUAGAUAUCUCCGUUUUCCUUUUUUUUUACGUUUCCCAACAAAACAAUUGAUCUUUGCUGAAUAUGUAAUCCUAAUCCUAAUUCUAACAAUAUUUUCUCCAAAUCUUUCAGAAAUCCGAAGUUGAAGACAAUUCCAAAAUUGUCUAAUGAUCUUCAGAUAAUUUUUGAGUUGAGCUGCAAAACGGAUGACAAAAAAUCAUUGCAAAGGUCACGGCAGGAAACAAGCCAAGUGAGUAAUGACAGUCACCACAAAUCAAGAAGGUCGCCGAUACCUGAUCUGGAUCUGAACUCUCUUCCUAGCCCCAUCACAAUGUCUGAUUCAUCUGAGGAUCAAGAAAGUGGAAGAAGUUCACCAGGUUAGAUGCCAUGGCUUUCAAUUAUUGUUGCCACACAUUGCUUUCUGUUCUUCAGAUUCAUUUUUGUAGUUGUUGCCAAGGUAGAAAUGUUCAAAUAUCUAUGCAGUAUGCAUCCUAUGGGUUUUUGUUUUAAUUUUUUUAUUUUUUAUUUUUUAUUAAUGGCAUUGGAGUAUAUGGAAUUUCUCUUAGCAGCAGCUUACUUAAGAAUGCUGCUACGUAAAAGUGAUGCAUAUCUUGAAUUCUGACUGUCAUUUGUUAAUGUAUAAAAAAGGUCGUACCCAGUGCACAAGGCUCCCGCUUUACACAGGGUCUGGGAGAGGUGAAUGUCGGCUAGCCUUACCCCCAUUUAUGGAGAGGCUGCUCCCAAGUCUCAAACCCGAGACCAAAAAUCUUUUUUCUUCAAUGUUUGUCCCCCAAUUAAAAUACUUCUGCAUUAUUUGAAUUUGAUAUCUCAUAGGUUAGGUGCAAGGUUGCAGGUAUUACAGAGAAGAAGAAAAGGGCGCCAAGUGGACGCAUAGCAAAUAUCGCUUUAUCAGAUCUGGCAAAGUAUUUUGAUCUACCAAUUGUGGAAGCUUCGAGAAAUCUGAAUGUUGGACUCACCGUACUUAAAAAGAAAUGCAGAGAAUUUGGCAUUCCUCGGUGGCCACAUAGGAAGAUUAAAUCGCUUGACAGUCUCAUUCGUGAUCUUCAGGUCUGUCCUAUUUCCCCGUCCUGCUAUGUUCACUCACUUUCCAUUUUAGUGAACAUUCACAUGAUUGUACUAAAUGAAAUAUCUCCCAAACUCAAAGAUAUUGUUACUUUGCUAACUGGAAAUGGGCAGAAAAUGAGCGCCAAUAAGUUCACGUAAAGCAGAUGAAAGAUAGGUGUAAGGAAUGAAGACUUGAAUAUGCAGUAGGCUGUAUGCAUGUAUCGACGUAUUUUCAGAGUCACAUAUAUUGGCACCUAUUUUACGUGUUCAGCUGUUUAUAUAUAUGAAUGUGCAGGAAGAGACAGAGAUCCAACAAAAGGAGAACAAAGCCGCAGCCUUGGCACUUCUAAAGAGGCAAAGGAUGCUGGAGAGGGAAAGAGAAAGUAUAGAGAGGCGACCCUUCUUGGAGAUAAGCGAGACCAAAGUUCGGCAAGAUGUUUAAGAGAAGGCACAGAGUAGAGUUCGAGCGGGAGGCCUAUCAACCUCUUCCAAUUAAAGCAUCUGUAUAAAGUAUUAGGAGAGCUUUUGAACUCGUUUCAAAAUUAUAAGAACUUCUAAAUUCUGCUUUUCUUGCAUUGGGGCUCAUGGCUCAAAGCUCCCCCCUUUAGUUUCUGAUAUUACUUUUGGUAAAUCAAUAAAUUUUAUCCCUAGUUCUGGUAUUGCUUUUGUGUUCGAUGACAGUUUAUGACAUGUUCACUUAAGUUGAAACGAGAUAGAAUGUGGAGUUAUUCUAAUUUUUAACUUCUCGUAGCACACGGGUAUUGGAAAUAUCGAUUCCUGACUUCCUAUGUGGCUCAUAAAUUAUAAACUGCAAUCCAAUCCCUGAAAUAUCAUGAAUUAGAUUGAUAUAGGGGCAGUAGUUGAUUUCAUUCUCAUUCCUGCUCUCACCUACUUUUGGCUUUCUUGAUUCACGACUUCUCUUCUAAGUAAACAAACUUGUUAGUUAGUCGAUUUCCAUUUGAGGUUUUGGAGCUCCUUACAUCUUCCAGUCAACUUUUUCUUGCUUUACAAGUCAUAGUUGUGGAUGCAAAUUUCCGUCAUCUUCUACUUUGACGAAAAUGCAUCUGCAAAAUAAUACCACCUAAAAUUAAGGCAAAAAGCCUCAUGCGGUCAUGAUGAAUGGGGGCUUUGGUCGAAGAAUCUCCGAUACCAAUGUUAGAAUUCUAAAAAAAUGUAUUUAGGAGCUUAUGGGUAUCAAAUGACUUAGCAUUUAGUGAGAUAAGAGGGAUAUUUAUAAGAGGGUGGCUGGCCAUAUAUGGAGUAAUAGGAGAGGUGUAGAUGUAUGUGAAUAAUAAUCUUGCAAUUAACGGCCACUUAAUUCCUCUUUAAAUUAAAGAUUUCGGAGUUAUAUUUUAAGAAAAUCACUAGGGAUUGUGAGGAGUGAUGAGAAGAAUUUGAAUAAAUACCAUAUUAAUCAUCUUUGACUCUUUCUUGAUUGAGCCGUUAUUAUCUGUUGUAUGCGCGUGGGAAUUCCGAUAUGUCUCGAGGAUAAUCUCGUCUUUUUAACCCAAAAAUCUACGUAUCGCCUCCAUGAUUUUUUGAAUUAUUUUUUGUCACAAUGAUUCAAGUGUGCUCACCAUUGAUCAUUGCCUUCCUUCAUCACCCCUAACGAUAGUUCAUAAUAAUUCCAUACCAAAACCAGAAAUUAGAUUAAUUAUGAGAAGUAGUUUGUCUCAUUAUUCUUCUUUCUAAAUACAUGAUUUUUCUAAUUCACGACUUUUUAUUUUGAGCAAGUAAAGAUGAUAGUUAUGACUUUCCAUUGAACUUCCAGUCAGACAGAUUUAUGUAUACAUGCUUCCAUGUAAACGCUAUAAAAUCUCAGCUUUCCGUCAAACAUGAAUGCAUCCCCCUUGAACAUCUUAAACUGAUGUGCACUUUUUGCUUUGUCUCUUGCCCUAAAUUUCAAAACGGAUACGGCAGCUGACACGAAUUCAUCCUGCUUUUUUGUCCAUGCGUAAGUCACUUCUUCACCCCUCUGGUUGUAGUUUUUUUGUAGAUCUCUUCCACGUGUUGAAGAGAGGAAAACGUUGCAUCUACUUAUAAAUUAUGGGUGGAACCUUGCCAAAUGAUUUUUUGGUGGAACCUCAGGCUCCUUCAACCCCUUUCCUGCAAACUUGCAAAGAAAUCGUAUCGCCUUUUUUGCUUGGGUUCUGAGCGACAUCCUGACUUAAACACUACGGACUUUUAUAACCGUUACAUCUUCAUUUUUCUUUACCUAAUCUAUAAGUUAAAAAGUUCUUAGUACUCUAUAUUCCCGAGCACAUAAAGGUGCAGUUUUAGUUCUUGCUGACAGUCGUUUGGUCUCUAAGGCCAUCUCAAAUAUAGCCCCUCCCCGCUUUUUUAGGGUCCAGUUCCUUAUUUAUAAAUAAUUGGAUAUCAAAUCAUGCACUAGAUUGAAAAUCAAUGUAGUUUAACUAAAGUUAAAUCAUCAAAUUAAAGUUUACAACUCAAAACUAAUAAUCAUGUCACUGUAUGUCUUAGCACAUUCGGUUAGAGAUGAUACAUAAAUAUGGUUUGAUACUAUUCAUUUGUGAUAAGGUCUAAAUUCUGGGACAGACUAUAUUUAGCUAUUCGGGGAAGAUGACUUAAAUUUAUGGCCGGUAAUUGAUCUAGCGUGUGUUUGCACGUGCCAUGCCCUGUUACGUUAAGUUGUGUAUAACGUGCCAAUUGCGGCUGUUUAUGUUUUUUCUGCUUUUGCUUUAAUGGCGACUCCGUUUUGAUCCCUUCUUGCAGGAAGUUGUGUCGCUCUUCGGCUUUGAUGAGCAAAAGUGAGUCCCAAAGUCAGUAGUCCCAAUUUAUACGUUUUUGGAAACUCAAAACUCAAAAGGACAACGAUCACCAGUUAUUUUUCUUCCAAAAAUGGACAUAUUACAAUCCUUUCCUCUUUGUAUAACUUAAAUGAUUAUAUAAAAUAGUUUUUUCAUUUUCGUUGAUACUUCAAUAAUCUAAAUCGACAAUUUCUAGGAGGUAUCAUGUUGCCUUGAACUUGUGACCAUUGACGCCAAUUUCUCCCCUCAACUUUUAAUUUUGUCAAUUCCCCCCCCCUCAACUUCAUAAUUAGUCCAUUUCUCCAUCAACCUUUAUUGGUCAAUUUCCCUGCUUUCCACCUCAACUUCAUAAUUUCUCCAAACUUUGCACCCUACGUUAAUUUUUUUUUAAUUUUCCAUCUAGUUCUUUUUUUUUUUUUCAUCUUAUUCUAAUUCCACCUUUGCUCUAAUACUCCAAAGUAGGUAAAUUAACAAAACAUAAUAAGUACAAAAAGUAUGUUAUGGGUUGAUUAUAAGAACAAAGUUAUGAAUCGGGUUUAAGCAUGUAGAAGAAGAAAUAAUAAUCAUAAACUCUGGAUCAGACCUAUUUCAAUCAAAUGGGUUAUUCUUAAUAAGGAGUCGAAAAUUAUGAAUUGACUAGUCAUUUUGCACUAAAAUUCGAUUCUCCGCAAUUUACUUACUUAGCUUUCACUUUUAUAAAGAAUUGUAUUUCACAUACAAAAAUGUACACAUCAAUCCUUUUCGUUAUAUUUUGUUAGUAAAAAUCAAAUAAAAUUACUCCAUACUGAUUUAUUUGACUAAUAAUACUAUCUAUGAUAAAUUAUAAAAUUCUAAAUUUUAAUCUAUUUGUAAUAGGAUAAGAAUAGGAAAUGAUUAAAUACAUCUUAUUUAGUUUCUUACACACACUUGUUUAUUAUGAAAACUAAAAAUUAACAGUAUGGUGUAAAUUGACUAUUAUGAGAGUUGAGGGGGGAGAAAUUCGGCGCCCAACUAGUCAAGUUUGGAGGGGGAAUUUGACUUUAAUUAUAAGAUGUUUUUAACUCAAAAAUCACAAACAUUAAUGUGAGUGGGCAAUUUCAAUAGUUCACAAAUUGUGAGAAUUUGCAAAUUGGAUAAUUAACUAACACACAACAUUUACUAAAACUAUACUAUUUUUGUAUUGUAAUCCAAACCCUACAAUAACCUAAGCAUUAAAUGCUACAUAAUUUACUCAAUCCGGGCUCAAAUCACGUUAAAUUGGUGCUAUGCCACAUAGAUGUUAAAUGCAUGGCUGGACUGAGCUUUGCAUAGACUAAAUGGUUUAUGCUAUGGUUUGUGAAAAAUUUCUACAUAAAAACUUGUAACCAAGACUCAGCUCGAAGUGCUUUCGAGUUCCCACCAGCACCAAAGCCAUGAUUAUCGAUGUUAUAAAGUGAGUCCAGUGUGUCUGCGGCAGACGGUAGGCCCCCUGCAGGUCAGGGCGCCGUAGGCCCAAGUUAAGGCCACCAUAUUAGGGUGCUAUAUUUAUAUACUUUUAUAAGAGUACUAAUUUAUAAAUUUGACUUCCCGACACAGAAAUUUUAACUAGAAGUGUUGGUUUUGUCAUUCUGAAAAUAACAGCGUGGUCUUGGUUCAAACUCAUGUGUGUUAUUUAUUUCCUUUUUUUACAAUUUCUUUUAUAAGAGUAAUGUAGAAAUUUGGUUAGAUCAAGAGUUUAAUUAGAAACAAUGAUUUUUGUUGUUUUAACAAUCUAAAACGAAAUGCUAAUGUGCAUGUUAUUCUUUGAUUUUUCAAAUUUUUGUUUUUGUAUGGUUUUAGUUUACUUUAGUACAGUGUCUAUUAGAAAUAUGUUAUUCAAGUUUUUGUGAAAUAUUGUGUUUUUUAGUUCCCCCCGCCUCUCUCCUCAAAAAAAAUAAUAUAAGGUAAUUUCCAAUGCAAUAUAACAAUAUCUUUUUGUUUCUUAUCAGGUCCGUUCAAAGAAGUCUAAGAAAAACACCUCACCGAUUAUCAAACCAAUUCAAUUCAAAUGAUAAAAUAAUCCCAUUGGCCCAUUCUGCCCUCUCCGCAAUAAGAGUCUUCUCUUUUAAAUUUAUAUGAAGCAACAAAUCUGUUCUAUUUUAACAUUUUCUAAUGAGACUUCGUUAUAAAAAAUCUCGAAACUCCCCGGAUUUCGUGUGUGGUUAAUAAUUGAUCGCCAUGAACAAUUUACUUUGUUUUGAAAAUAAGGAUGGGAAGAAUUUUGUUAUCCAGAUUUUCAAAAAAAUUCCCAAAAGUCCAAAAUGGGUAUACACAGGACAAUAUGAUCUAAGUCAAAAAUCUCCUUAUUCAAUAAAGGAAAACCCGUUGUAACUUAUGCUGGUUCACUGCUGUCUACAUCAAUCUAAGCUGUGAAAGAACUAUUUUGCUUCCAUGCUGUGGCUCCAUUACGAGUGUUAUAGCAUAUUUUUUGAUCUCAGUGUAAUUUUUAAGAGACUUAAUUUCUUUUUCAGUACCGCUAAAAGACUGUGGUAGUAAAAUAAAAAUUGUGUGGCAUUUUACGUUGAGGGAACACAUCCUUAAUAAGGGAGAUUAAUUAUGUAAAACGUUUGUUAUAAAAUUGGAUGUAAUUUUAGGGAAGCAUUCAAAGUUCCUUUUUAAGGUAUUCAUUGAUCUAAUAAAAAUAGCACGGGGUACUCAUUCGUAUUUUUUUUAUCGAAUUUAAACGAAGUAAAGUCAUUUUAAUAAUGUAGAGUCCUUUCUAGAUUUCUCUGUAAUUAUUUUUAAAUUAUUUUGAUUUUAAAAAUAAAUAAUCGUUUAGUUUUUUUUAGAGAAGGCUAUUUCAAAUUUGGUGGAAGACUCCAAAAUGGUGAUCUGAUGAUAGCCACAAUCAUUUAAUCAAACAGUUUUUUUUAGUUCAUUAUUCAAUAUGAAUAAUUCCGAAAUUAGUUAUAAGUCUGUAGCUCGGGUUUUCCUGUAUUAAUUCCUUGGUCCCAAAUUUUUCCAAAUUGUGGUGUCCAUCAAAGACCUAAGAUGUAUAAAAAUGUAGUAUAACAUGUAAUAAAAAUUACCGCUUGCGCCUGCUGACUUGGGUGAUGAGCGGCUGCACCCCUUAUAGACAUACAUUUUCUUUAUUUGUCGAUCUAAUACCCAUAAAAAAACCGGGAAUUAGAUUAAGAGUAAUGCUAGUAAGCUAAUGUAUAAGAUUACAAUGUAAAUUAAAUGAUGUGUCACCUAUAAGAAAUAAGCACGCUAAUCAAUACUUCAGUAAUAGUUCAAUCAUCAACUUUCAUGUCAUAUAGUUUACAAAAUUUUGUCUACACAUUUAGUCUUCUCGUUCCUUCUUAUCUGAGGUAGUUUAUCUAUAGAUCCUUUUCCAUGAAUUCCAUGCUUUCCGAAUUCACGACUCUUUUCAUUUUGACGUAAAAGUAAAACAUAGUACGUUAUGAACUUAGUAAUGCUAGUAAGAUAAAUUUUAUAAACAAAAAUUUGUAACAAAUGAUGUAUCACCUGUAAAUUCAAAUGACCAUAAAAGUUCUACAAAAUUUAGUUGUCCUAGCAUUCAUCCUUCCAGUCAAACAGACUCAUGUAUAUAUGCUUGCUUCCUGUAAACAACUGUAAAAAUCUCAGCUUUCUGUCAGCCUGAAAACAGCUGACUUUCAUUCCCCCUGGACGAUCUUAAACUGAUCUCACUUUUUGCUUUGUCUCAUGCCUAAAUGUCAAACAGAAAAUGCGGCUGACACGAAAUUCAUAGAAACUUCGUUAUCCCAUGGGUGGGUUAACUUCUGGUCGACAGAUUCAUGACUUUCCGAAUUCACGACUUUUCAUUUUGAGUAAGUAAACAUACUAGUUAUGAAUUGAGUAAUGCUAGUAAGCUUAAAUUUAUAAACAAAAUUUGUAAACUAAAUGAUGUAUCACCUGUAAAUUAAAUGACAUAAAAGUUCUACAAAUUUAGUUGUCCUAGCAUUCAUCUUCCAGUCAAACAGACUCAUGUAUAUAUGCUUGCUUCCAUGUAAACACUGUAAAAUCUCAGCUUUCUGUCCAAGCAUGAAACAUGACUUCAUUCCCCCUGGACGAUCUUAAACUGAUCUGCACUUUUUGCUUUGUCUCAUGCCCUAAAUGUCAAACAGAAAAUGCGGCUGACACGAAUUCAUAGAAACUUUCGUUAUCCCAUGGGUGGGUUAACUUCUGGUCGACAGGUCAGGCGCGGAGGCUUGCCUUUACCUGCGGGCACCUUUUCUCCAAACUUGUGAAGAAAUCAUAUCAUCUUGUUUUUGCUAAAAAAUUAUACGGUGUUUCGAAGUAUAAGACACUCUCUAAUUAAAGUACUUCGAUUUUUUUUAACUGUUAAACUUUAAAAUUUUUAUUUUUAAUUAAAAAUUCAAGAGUAAAAAAUUUCGUGGUAUCUUAUAUUCCGGGCACCAGAAAAUGCAUGUUUAACUUUGUGCUUUGGACACUUCGUUGAUUCUUCGCAUCUGGGGUUUUGGCCUGGGAGUGUGUGCUAGCGUGUGUAAAACGUGAUACUUGCGGCUACUUGUAAACCUGCUUUUGCUUUGGUUUUAUUUAUUUAUUUUUUUUUGAAAGGAGCUUUUGCUUUGGUUUUAUUGGCGGCUCGGUUUAGCUCACUCGGUCUAAGGAGAAAUUUUUAGUUGUGACGGGAAUAAAGAUGAUACAUUACGUGUUUUUAUGCAAGUGAUGGAAAAUUUUAAUUUUUAAGUUAUUAACCUUUAACACACAUAACCGACCAUGUAUAGGGACACGUGAUGUACCACAUCGUGUAACGGUUACAUUGAAAAAUCUCUUUGGUCUGAACUGUUUCUAUAUUUUUUCUUCUUUCACGAGCAAAAGUAAGCAGCCUCAAUAUUAUUCAUUUGAGGAAACUCAAAAGCAUAAUGAUCUACUGUGAUUUCUUUUCCAAAAAUGGACAUACCUUUGUGUAACUUAAAUGGUUAAUAGAUUGAAAGAACAUUUUUCAAUUAUCAUUCACGCUUCAAACAAUCUAAUACAUUUACGAUAUGUAACAUCUAAAAUAUAAGAUUUUUCUUCAACCACAACUACAAAUGAUUAAUUCACAGUUGUUGCAAGUAGACAUAUAUAAGAAUAUAGCCUCUCAUAUAGAAGACGCUUACUCAACAAAUUAAGAGCGAGUUGUUGCAACUUAUUAUGACUUACAACUAGUUGAAAUCAAACAUAAUAAUUUCAACAAAUAUACGACCCUAGGAGAACUACUAAUCAUUUUUUUCUAGGUGGAGUUACAUAUCCCAUUGAGCAUUAUUAUCUGAGUUCGUUUAAAUCUACAAAAUUGAAUCUUCAUUGCUCAAAUCACGUAUAAAUUAUUAAAUUGUAUUCCCCAUAUAUACAUGUUAAAUGCAUGAUUGAGAAUUUGCGAUGGGCUAAAAGUGUUUUCUAACUACUAAAAAUGUUUCAAACUAUGUUUGGUAGAAAAAAAAAAAUCUACAAUAAAAAUACUUCUAGCACAAAGAUUUACGACACAAAUGCUUUCGAGUUCCCAAUCAGCACUAAAGCCAUGAGUAAUCGAUUGUAUGAAGUGAGGUCCGUGUGUCCCCCGCAGAGUAGGACUGUUGUGUUGGAAGCCACCUUUAUAAGUUGAGUGGCCAUGUAUGCAAAAUCACUUUUGUUUUCUAGAAAAUUAGAACACUAGUCUUUGAGUUUUGGCCUAAUUGAAGUUUUGGUCUUAUAAACUGAAUAUCCUUGAGCAUAUAUGGUCCUUGAAUUUGUUAUAACGUGGAGCAAUGAUCUUGUUUACUAACUUCGUUUGAACUUCUAUCCAAAAUAAAUGGUUUAAAAGGGCGAAAAAUAGAUGAAAGUUUUAACAUAGUUAGCAAAAAGUAUCAUUACUCUACAUUAAUACCAGUUCAGGGACCAAUACUCAUGAACUUUUAAUCCAGGAAACAAAACUCCACUUAACUAUAGUUGAGGGAUCAUUGCUCCAAUUAUCUCUGUUUUUAGUAAAUGUAUAUGCAAAGAUUUUAUUUUUUAUUUCUUAUUUUCACUUGAGGAACCCUUGACAUUGUUCUAAUCAAGGAGAUAUGCUAAAUAAUAUAGGUUGUUAUGAACUUAUGAUGUAUUUUUAGGUUUUAGCAGUCAAAGGCUCAAAUUUUAAGGUACUCAUUGCAUUGUUAUGGGAGCUAUUUUUCUCACCAAUUUAACCAUAGGUGUAUCGUAAUUGUAUUUUAAGGUAUUCAUUGUGUUCUAAUUAAAGAAAAAAAAACAUGCUCAUUGUAUUCUUUAUGAUCAUGCACAUGAAAUUUGGUUUUAUAAUUUUUUACGAAACUUUUAAAAUUAAUUUUAAUAAGUGAUUUUAAAACUUCGUCGAUGAUCUUCUCUGUGAUUAUUUUAAAUUUUUCUAUAUAUAAAAAUAAAAAUUUCACACAGAAUUGCAGAUGCAUGAAUAUGUGUUCUUGGACUGUUUGAGCUACAAAACCCUUCGUAGUUGAGGGUAAGAGAAAAAAAAACUUCGGUCAACCAUUACAGGAGGAGUCUAAUAAGUGUCAAGCCAUUUCUUACCUAUAAGCACUUGGCAUCUAUGUAGUCAACAAGAAUAAUAAUCAAGUGCUCCUUCAUUGGAGACAUUUUUUAAUGUAUAAAAAACACAGCUUUGUACAAUAAGUUUUAUAAUACAUGUGUUUGAUUUUUUUUUUUUUUAAGUAUUCAAUCACUUAUAUUAUGACACGGUGGUGUUAAGGAAACCAAAUUUUUAAACAAAAUUUUGUAAACCAAAUGAUAUGUUUUUUUUUAUGAUUUGAUUGUUAUUUAAGUGUUGAUUAACGCGUUUAUUUCUUAUUGGUGAUAUAUCAUUCGGUUUGCAAAUUUAAUUUAAAAUUUUGAUAUCCCUAACAUUAUCUAAUAAGUAAAAGGCCGAUGAAGAAAAUGCCUAUGCUGCUGCAUGCAGAUAUAAAAGGGGUGUGAUAUCCACACACCCUAUUUUACUUCUCACACACUUUUUUAAUUUUCGGCCGUCGGAUCAGAUGAAUUAAAGAAGAUCAACGAACAUAAAUUAUCAAGAGAUGUGUGAGAAAUAAAAUAAAAUGUGUGGAUAGCACAUCCCUAUAUAAAACUGUGCUGUCAUAGGACGUUGAUAAUAACUGGGGGUUGACUGUCAAAAUCGGUUAAAUAUUUCGUUUUCACAGCUGAUGCCAAGCAAGUGAAAAAUAGAAGGGUUUGGAACUUUGGAUAAAAAGAAAAAGUGCACCAAAUGGAAUUAAGGAUACAGCCAAUUAAUCCUUAUGUUUUGCAAUAUGAAUAUUAUAGUUUACAUCUUUUUGUUAGAAAUUAAAAAAUGAAGCAACCUAGUGGGUUCGUGGCAACUCCCCAGUUGAGCAGAAAGUCCAACUCUCCAACUAUAUAAAAUGCCAAUUCCAACCACAUAAAUUCCACUUCCAUUCUCCUCCUUCAAGAUCUCUCCUUUUGUCUCCCAACCCUUGCAAAAUUACACAGAUCUUUUUUCUAGUUGACAAAAUUGAAUCAUGGGGAAUUGCUGGACAUCUCAUGAUCCUCGUCCGAACAAAUACAUACCUUCAACUCCAGGUACAGUUUGCUCCAACACCAGACCACUUUAAACAAAAAAGGGUCAUCAAAAUUUUCACAAAUUCAUAUUCACGUUAGGUUAGUUGGCCAGGGCAGUCUAUCAGCCUUGCCGCCCUGGUACUCCAAGUUCAUAUCACCCUCUCGAAUAUCUAGAAUAUCGUAUUUUCAGAAGAAAACAGUCAUUGAAUUUCAUACACGGUUCAUGCAUAUUAAUCAUGUGUUAUGUUUUUCUAGGGACAUCGGGAACUCACAGCAAGAACAUAUUAUCAAACACAAGCAGCAGUGUAGGAAGAAGUCAUUUUUCAGAAGCAUCAUCAAGCUCAAAAAUUGAAGAAUUACAAUCACAACAACCCAACGGACGGAUUUUGGAGUUCCCAAACUUGAGAGUCUUCACUUUUGCAGAGAUGAAGGCUGCCACCAGAAAUUUCAAGUCAGAUGCAGUUCUUGGUGAGGGAGGAUUUGGGAUAGUUUUCAAAGGUUGGGUGGAUGAGAAAACACUUCAGCCUUCAAAAGCUGGCACUGGAAUGAUGGUCGCAAUCAAGAAAUUGAACCCAGAAAAUGGGCAAGGAUUUCAAGAGUGGCAGGUAUUUUUAUUUAUUUUUUCAACUUUGAUUUAUUAUUAGGAAAUUUUAAUUAGUCAGACUCAGGACUAGUUGUUCUGCUAUUUAUUUAUUUAUUUUUAAUUUUUGUCAAAGAGUAUAAUUUCUCGAAGACGGCAUCUUUUUUAAUUUUGAUCAUAACAUGAAUUUGGGUUUUAUCCGAAUUCAAAUUAUGAAGAUUUUAAGGAUUCUUAUAUUCUAGUAGUUUAUUGUAUAUCGUGAAAUUAAAAAUUAUUUUGAAUUUUUUAAUUUAAAAUUAAAUAUAAAUAAUAUCUAACGAAAACUAAUUGUACAAUACAUAAUAAACCAACUUGAUAUCAGAAUUCCUAAAAUCCCAUCAAGAAAAUCCUAAGGUAAUCUUCAUCUGAUAACACGUCAUGAUUUGGCAAGCCAGCUACCUCACAGUAUUUAUUAUUUUUUCAAUUCAAUUGGAGUUCAGCAGGACGCGGGCCCCACUUUAGAAGAAAUAUCUGUCGUUUUCUUGUUCUUAACUAAUUAAGAAAUAGAAAUAGAUCGUGAGCAAGUCAUGAGGCCAACAGGAUUCUCUCCUGUUCUUUUUUGGGAAGAUUCGAAGGAUAAUCGUAUUCAUUUAUUGUAUAAUUUUUGUUAGGUGCUGUUUGUAUGUAAUUUUAAAUAAAAAUAUUUAAAAUAAUUUUUAAUUACACAAUUUACGAUGAACGGAUAUGAUUAACAGAUUCCUGUAAUUCUCAUAAAGAGGAUCCAAAUUCAUCAUAAGGGAAGGGAAUUGUUCGACGUGCUAAGAUCAAACCAUGAAUUAAGUUCGGCCGAACUGAAGACGUUUACCCUUGUCAACAACAUUGAAUGAAGAUUUUGUCGAAAAUGUUUCUAACUUGCAUUUGCAUGGCAGAUUAGAAUUUUAUCACAAAAAUAUCUCGAUGCGUUGAUUAAUAGUAGAAUCAUUCAUUAUAUAACUCUUGCACUAUGCAUUGAUCAUUACAUCUUAUUUAUUCGAGCGCCAUUUUUAAUUCAAAAGUAUGGGAAGAUAUAUUUUAUUUUGGUACAGGAGUGAGAAAUUUAAACUUGCAUUUUUUAGUUCCACACUUCACUAGUUUGGAAAGCACCACUUUUGUCAUGACAGAUCAUAUUAGUUGGAGUUCAUAUCUUCAUCCCGUAACAUGUCAUGAUUUGGCAAGCCUGCUACCUCACAGUAUUUAUUAUUAUUUCAAUUCCAUUGGAGUUCAGCAGGACGGGCCCCACUUUAGAAGAAAUAUCUGUCGUUUUCUUGUUCUUUACUAAUUAAGAAAUAGAAAUAGAUCGUGAGCAAGUCAUGAGACGAACAGGAUCCUCUCUAGAGCUUUUUUUGUAAGGAUUCAAAGGAUUUGUAAAUUUUGUUUAUUUAUCGCAUAUUGUGUGAUUAAGUUUUGUUAAAUAUUAUUUGUGUGUAAUUUUAAAUAAAAAAAUUUAAAACGAUGUCUGAUUACAUGAUUUACGAUGAACGAAUAUGAUUCAUGGAUUUCCGGAAUCUGAGGAUCCAGAUUUGUCACGAAGGAAGGGAAUAGUUCAAUCGUGCUAAGAUCAAGCCAUGAAUUGAGUUCGGCCGAACUGAAGACGUUUACUCUUGUCAACAACAUUUGAAUGAAGACUCUGUCAAAAAUAUCCCCAACUUGCAUUUGCAUUGCAGAUUAGAAUUUUAUCACAAAAAUGUCUGAUGCAUUGAUUAAUAGUAGAAUCAUUCAUUAUAUAACUCUUGCACUAUGCAUUGAUCAUUACAUCUUAUUUAUUCGAGCGACAAUUUUAAUUCAAAACUAUGGUAAGAUAUAUUUAAGUUUUGGUAUAGAAGUGAGAAACUUAAACUUGUAUUUUUUAGUUCCACACUUCAUUAGUUUGGAAAGCACUUUUGUCAUGAGAGAUCAUAUUAGUUGGAGUUCAUAUCUUUCUUUAAAAUCCCAAUCCAAGUAGGUGGUGUGGUUUUAAUGUUACAUUGUGAUUUGCUAUGAUGCUAUCCUAGUUAUACAAUGUGGUUCACUGUCUGUCAUGCCCCAUAACCCUAUUUCUUCUUCUUACAUAAUUUCUCAGCAUUACUCUUUCUUUUGAAACUAAAUAUGUUUUUCUUCUCUUGAUCAUAUUUGACAAUUCAGUCGGAAGUGAAUUUUCUAGGACGACUUUCGCAUCCGAACCUGGUGAAGCUAUUAGGUUACUGUUGGGAAGACAAAGAACUACUCCUUGUUUAUGAGUUCAUGCAGAAAGGAAGUUUGGAGAAUCAUCUUUUCAGAAGUAAGAAACCAAUGUGAAACCAUGGAACUUAGGAUAUUUUGCUUCUAUACCAUUUUGUUAACUUCAGAACUUUUGUUUCGAGCAGGGAGUGCGGGCAUUGAACCGCUUUCUUGGGACAGAAGACUAAAAAUAGCUAUCGGAGCAGCUCGAGGCCUGGCCUUCUUACACAGUUCAGAAAAGAAAAUCAUCUACAGAGAUUUUAAGGCCUCAAAUAUAUUGCUUGAUGGGGUUUGUACUUCUACCUAAGCGUUUCUGUCAUACAUAUAUAUUACGUGUACUGCAGUAUCUUUCUAAGAACCCACAACUGUAACCAUCCAUGUGAUAUAAUUUUUUUUAUACAAGCGAUAUUAUUCUUUAUACUAAUCUGAAUGGCUGCAGAGCGAUUUGAAAUUGGAUGCAUGGGGAGGAUCACAUCCACUCUAGCUAAUGUAGCUACAGCGACUCUGCAUGUAUGUGAUAUAAUUAAACUGUCUAUUUUGUUAAUCUCCUCUUUUAUUUAUGCAGAGUUUCAAUGCAAAAAUCUCAGAUUUUGGCUUGGCGAAAUUGGGGCCAGUUGGUGGAGAAUCACAUGUUUCAACUAGAAUCAUGGGAACAUAUGGUUAUGCUGCUCCAGAAUACAUUGCAACAGGUAAUCAAUCUCUAACAAAAAAGGAGGAUCUUUUGGAAUUUAGAUAUGAACAUUUCCUCUGUUGAUUUUCACAAAUCAGCUGAUACAUAUUCCUGACAUGUACUAUACCCUAAACCAACAGGCCAUUUGUACGUGAAUAGCGAUGUGUAUGGAUUCGGCGUUGUCUUGCUUGAAAUUCUGACAGGGCUACGAGCACUUGAUCUGAAACGUCCCAAGGAACAACAACAACUUGUAGAAUGGGCUAAACCACUUCUACUGAACAAAAGAAAGCUGAAAACUAUUUUGGAUGUGCGGAUGGAAAGCCAAUAUGCCUUCAAGGCAGCAAUGCAGACAGCACAGAUUACUGAAAAAUGCUUAGCGCCGGACCCUAAAAGCAGGCCUUCCAUGAUAGAAGUCGUGGAGCAAUUGGAACAAAUUCAAGCAAUCAAGGAACAACCAAAACAAUCCAAACUUACAUCUGUGCAAGCCACUUUUACUUUUGGAGCCAGUAAACAGUCGAUUCGCCGUUCAUCGUAUCACUCUAGGUUUCAUAGCUCUCAUUGAUAAAGUGUGAUAGUGACACUACAAGGUGUAUGCAUGUUGACGUUCAAACAUCAAAUUGAGAAUGUUUGAACAUUCACUUUUCUUUUUAUCAAUUUCCAUAUUGAUUUUUUAUUUAAUUGUAGCAAUUGAAUAUUGAAAUUCAUAACAAAUUUUGUUCUUGUAAUCAUCAUUUGUGCUGAAUUAAAGGAUUGUUUGUUAAACCAUACUAUUAGUAUUAGCAAAGCAGUUUAUAAUAUGGGCUCAGAUGGUUUCUUUUUGAAUAUUGAGCUAUUCGGACCGUUCAAUUUAAAUUUUGCGGUUUCCAUUCGCUCAUCUUACUGGUCUACCUCACAUACAAUCUCUCUCUCCAACGCCAAUAUAUGUCUCUUGAAUUUUCCGGAUUACUCGAUCCACAGGCUCGGGAGAGUGAGAUCCGUAGGAUCUCAAUCCGUUUUUUUCCAAAGCAAUAUUACAAUGAUCUCGACUCUUAAACACAGCACGAAUCUAUCAAGCUCCACGCGUCGAUCAAUUAUUCGUCACACCUAUGUUAAUCAUAAUUAACAACCGCAUAAUAUAUAAUACAUGGAAAUAUUAAAGUAGAUAGUUCAUGUUAAUUGCAUGCUGCGUAUGAAAUUAAUAUGUGAGUUUUUUGUUGAAAAAUGGCAGAUAUUGUGACUUUCAUAACUGCAAAGGGAAAUGAUGAUCCUUACCAACUGAUCAAAUGCACUUAGAGCAUUUCACGCAUGUAUAAAGAAGAUGCACAACGUUCUUUAAUAUCAAUGAUUACAUUCGUUAGCUAUCUAGUUGUAACUACCUCAUUAUGAUAACGUAAUUUGUAGAAUUAUUUUCACACACAUUUUUUUUCUCCAUCAUAAUCAUGUUAUAAUGGAGAAAGGUGAAGAGCAUUUCACGCAUGUAUAAAGAAGAUAACAAUGUUCUUUAAUAUCAAUGAUUACGUUGGUUUGAUAUCUGGUUAUAAUAACGUAAUAUGUAGAAAGUGAUUUUCACACAUAUUUUAUCUUCCUAUCAUAACCGUGCUAUUUUCUAACUUUUAGAAUAAACUAAAAAAUAAUUAAGUAAAAAUAGAAGAAAGUGUUUGAAAAUCUUUUUCAAAGAAGAUAAAAUAAACAUCCAUUUAACCAAGUCCUCUUUUGAACAAAAACCUAAGGAACAACUGGGACAAAGUCAGCUACAAGAAUAUGAAAACAUAACUCAUGAGAUGGUGAGAUCAUUGUAUAGAAGUUUUUAGUUAUUUGCGUUAUUUGCGUUAUUUGUGUUGUUGGAGGAGGUCUUGAAUUUAAUUUUCGUCGUAUUUUUAUUUGCGUUAUUACAUUAAAAAGAAAAAAAGACCAAACUUUUAAUUAAUUAUGAUAGUUGAUCAGGUGAUGUGACUGUUAAUAAAUACUUACAGUUAUAUCAUAUGGUUCAUGUAUACGUAGUUUGAUAGUUGAAGAUCCAAACUAAAUUCACAAAUACUAUUUCGGCAAUGCUUUCAAUGCUAGAUUCGAGCGGCUUCGAUUCAUGGUGGUAGCAAAGGUAUAAUUAGUGUGGAUGCAAAUUUUCUCCUCCUCGAUCUUGGACGAUUUUGCACCUACAAAACAACUAGCACCUUAGGUUAAGGCCCAAAGCCUCACGCACCCACGAUGAAUUGGGGGGUUUUGGCCGAAGAACCUCCGAUGCUAAAGUUAGAAUUUUAGAGAGAAAUAGUGUUGAGUAUUUGGGAUUUUUUGUAAGAGAAUUGGAAUCUAUUUAUAGGGAUAGGGGUGGCCAGCCUAGCUAGGGUUUUUGUGUUUGAUUUAGGUUUAAUUAGCCAAUUUAUUUGGCAAUUAAACAUAAAAUGAAUGUUUUGGUGGUUUUUGGAAUUAAUUGGCUUAGUUAAUUAGGGUAAUUAAAAAAGGGAGUGAAAAAGUGGAGAAAGGUUGAGAGAAUUAAGGUUUUACUUUUCUUGAUGGAUUUGGCCGGCCACUUUUAGUAGUUUUAGGUUUGGAUGAGUGUUUCAAUUGAUAAUUAAGGGUUUGAUUAGGUAAUUAAUCCCUUAAUUAGUCAAUUAUUAUGAUUUUAGGAAAUAUGAAAGGAAUAAGUAUAUUAUUUAGCUAAUUGAUUAGCUAAAUAAUGAAAUGGGAAAUAUAUGAAUAAAUUAGGUUUUAAGUUGAUACCUAUUUUGGGCACUUUUGACUUGGUUGAAGAAUAAUUGUCUGCUGCUUGCGCGUAAGAAUCCCGGUAUACAUGAAGGGUAGUUUUGUCUUCUUUUGUCAAAAAUCUACGUGUCGCCUUAUGAUUAUUUUUGGCUCCACAGUUAGGAUUUUUAUUGUUUUAAUUUUUCAAUUUUAUUGAACAUUUACUUUUUACUAUUAGUACUUUUUGUGUCUUAUAAACGUUUUUAAUGUACCGUUAAAGUUUACUUUGUAAAUAACAUUUUCUAUGACCAUCAGUCAUUGUUAUAAACGUGAGCACUCUUGUUUCUUUCAAAUAAAAAAAUAUAGAAAAGAAUAUCUUUUCUUCUUUGCCUUUUUUUUAAAGAAAGACAGGGGAAGCCUCCCUAAUAAAAAUACCCCCACAAAAAGCAGAAGAAAAUGAUAAAAAGGGGGUGACUGUGUGCAAUGCAGGGAGUGCCCUUUCCUUUUCACCUUUCUUUCCAAUAUUUUUUUGUAACUUUGCAGAUUACAGUUGAACUACUGUGUCUGUGUGUUCCUCUGUGUGUGCAUACGUAUGGCUGUUUUGCUUUGGUUUCUCAUACCAAAAAAACCAGCAAACAUCACUUUCUUCUAAAGUCUUCUAAUUUUCUCGCAUUCGUAUAUUUUUCGUGGCUUUUGUGUUCUUCUUAAUUAUCUUCCAUUUUCUGCGAUCGAUGUUUUUCUUUUAAUCUCAUAUUUUAAAACCAGCAAACAUCACUUUCUUCUAAACUCUUCUAAUUUUCUCGCAUUCGUAUAUUUUUCGUGGCUUUUGUGUUCUUCACAAUUAUCUUCCAUUUUCUGCGAUCGAUGUUUUUCUUUAAAUCUCAUAUUUUUUGAAAGAUAAUUUCAUGUUUUUGUGGCUCAGUGUCUCCCUAAACCACGCUUAAAUAUAGGUCAUAAUUUUCUUCAAUCUUCAUUCGUUAGCCAGUGCUCGACUCAUUCAUCAAUAUAUUCAUGUAAGUCCUUAACACCUUAUUUUGGGAUUUUUUUUUCUAUGUUAUGGGAAAUGAUUUGUAGGCAUCUUUUUUUUCUCGUCGUGUAAACUCUCGUUUAUUUCUAGUCUUUGAAUUGAAUGAAAUAAGGAGAAUUGAUAAAUGAUUUUAAACAGGGUGUGUAGAGGGAGAAAAAUAGCGUGUCGAAAUUAUUUUCCUCAUGUGUGUACCGUAUAUAAAUUUUUAUUUAGUUUCUUAUGCGGUGUGAUUGGGUUUUAGACUAUUUCCUUUGUUUUUGUACUGCGUUUGGCUGCUCAGAAAACUGAGGAAGGGAGAAAAAAGUCCCAAACUUUGAAUAUUUUGUGUCAUUACUUGGAACCUAAUAUUAUUUUUUACUACUAACGUAAAGUUCAGUGCUCUGAUGGUAUUUUUUGGCUUGGUUGAGGUGGGUUUUUUUAAAAUAUAUUUUCUUCUGUUUUUAUGUACUAUAUACAGUGUUUGAUAUGUAAUUCUUUUGAACAUGGAAUUGAUAAGUGAGAAAUUAUGUAUGAUUUUGACUUAAGGGUCAUGCACUCCAAUUAUUAAUUUGGGAUGACCUCUCUUCUGCUUGACAAAUUGCUUCAUCCAUAAAGUGUUGAAAUUUCUUAUGUUUAUUUAAGAAAUUAAUUAGAGAUUUGAUUUGAUUUUGUAUUAGGGUAUUUUUGGCAUUUACGAAUUAGGAUUUCUCUAGGUUAUAUCGCUAUAAAUAUAGUUCGUAAAUUAGUUUAAGAAACAAGUUAGUCAAAGUCUAGUUUUACGAGUUAUAUUUUGAAUUUUGUUGCUUAGCCUGAUUUUCAACAUAAAAGUCUAUGUUUGUGGACUUUUCUUUGCCUUCUUUUCCAUUUUGGUCUCGUAAACAUUGCUGAGUAUUUACAGUUAAAAAGUCAUUAUUUCUCAGCUGUGAAUCAUGUACUAAAAUAUAUACAUAAUUAACUUAAUAAAAGCACAACGCACAUCUCCAACGGUGAUAGAUUUGUAAAGAGGAAGCAAUCAUGUCUCAGAUCUUUCAACUCAUUUUCUUUAUUUUCUUGCAUUUUUAUGGAGGGUGUUUAAGGUUUCGUGUUCACUUGAGGUUUCAUUUCUCUUCAGCAGGAUCAUAUGAUGGAGAAAAACAUUGUGAUUAGUGAAAGCGAAAGCAGGGCAAUUGCAAGCCAAAAGUUGGGGGGUUUAGGCACUUUUCUGAGGAAAUGCUUGUUCAGUGUUGUCUCUGUGGGCCCCAUUCCUGAACACAUAGCCUUCAUCAUGGAUGGAAACAGAAGGUAUGCAAAGAGGAGGAACUUGCCUGUUGGGGAAGGCCACAAAGCCGGAUUUUUAUCUCUCAUGUCGAUUCUCCGGUACUGCUACGAGUUGGGAGUGAAGUAUGUGACAGUGUAUGCCUUCAGCAUUGACAAUUUCAAGAGGCGGCCCGACGAGGUGAAAACUCUGAUGGAUUUGUUGCAGGAGAAGAUUGAAGGGUUGCUUGAGAAAGAAAGUAUUGUAAACCAGUUUGGCAUUCGGGUAUACUUUAUCGGUAACUUGAAGCUUUUGAAUGAGUCUGUGAGGGUUGCUGCUGAGAAGGCAAUGAAGGCCACUGCCAAUAAUUCAAAGGCUGUGCUUUUGAUCUGUGUGGCUUAUACUUCUUGUGAUGAGAUUGUCCAUGCUGUUGAAGAAUCCUGCAACAUGAAAAAGAGCGAAAUUCGAGCACAGAUUAACGGAACAAAGGGUGGCUGCAAUGGCGGUAUGGAUGGAGAAGCGGGGUUAGAUACUAGCGAAGCUUGCAAUGAGAAAGUUGAGGGGGAGGAGAAGGAAAACGCAAGGGUUAAACAUGUCGAAAAAGGUGAAGGGGAAUUUCUUGAGAAUGAGAAGCAGCUUCCUGUUGUAAAGGUAGUGGAUGUUGAGAAGCACUUGUACAUGUCAGUGGCACCUGAUCCAGACAUUUUGAUUCGAACUUCAGGUGAGACACGCUUAAGCAAUUUUCUGCUUUGGCAAACUUCUAACUGCCCGUUGUACUCCCCUGCUGCACUGUGGCCGGAUUUGGGUAUGUGGCACUUGGUUUGGGUAAUUCUGAACUUCCAGAGAAACCACUACUAUUUGGAGAAGAAAAGGAAGCAGAUGUAAUGAUCAUAACGCCGUGGAGAUUUGUAAAUCAUGUGAUCAUGCUUACAAUUCCUCUGGAAGUUGGAAAUGUUGAACAAACAGCUUGUAUUUUCCCGGAUUCUUUACUUAUACUAUGCAUAAUAGCGUGUCAAUAUUUGGUGAUCUUAAUUAAUAAUAUAUGCUUCUUACUUACUAAAUCAUUCAUGUUAUAACACGUGUAUAACAAUAUUCUACUGCUCGGUUCAGAAGAAUCGGAACUUAGUAGAAGAUUGGGCCGCAAUGAUUUUAUUAUUGUGAUCUGUUUUUCACACUCAAUGUAACCCUACAUACAGUUGAAGGCGGCUAUAGCUUUUGAAAAUGAUGCAGCAACCAAUUCAACUUUUUUUUAUCAUGGUUGCCGCAUGAAAUUUCCUAACAGAGAGAUAAAGGCCACUUUUCUGGAUAAUCAACCAACCCCCCCUUUGGAUGGUCUUGAUCAAAACCCCAAAAUCUGUGUUUUGUCGAUCGGACGGCAGAUAUUGAGUAAAAAAUUACCUACCAAAUGUGAAUUUAUGCUCUCCCAUUGUAUAAGACUCCAUAUUAGACCUAGACUUUCAUGUAAAAUACAGUGUUCUCCAAGUUCUUCAUGCUAGAACUGCCAUGGCUCUCGGUCUGCGAUUCGAUAUAGUUCUUCUUCCGGUUCUACUUUCCGCCCUCCUCCUAACUAAAGCCGCCUCUAUCUCUCAUCACCACCAUGACCGCCACCACCAUCAUCUCAAGUCCCUCCACUUCACUCUCUUUCAACACGAAACCAUAAACAGAACCGGAUAUAUUGUAGUGAAUGGUGUAACAGGACCAGGCGUAAGUCAAACCACUACCCCUUUUGGCACCGUGUUUGUUUUCCAGGAUCCGAUGACUGUCACAGCCAAUCGAUCUUCGAAAGCAGUUGGGAUAGCUCAAGGAACUUCUGUCACAUCCAGCUUAGAUGGGCUUCAGAGCAUUUCAGUAGCGAAGAUCACUUUGCGCUUGAAGAACCACUCCGGUUCAGUUUCUAUAGUCGGAGGCACGCAUAAUGUGAAGCCCGCCGAUCAUCCUGUUGUGGGAGGCACCGGCGAUUUCCUGUUUGUUCAAGGCUACGUGACAUCGUCCCCUGUCGAUCUCAGGGGCCUAACUGUUGUCUACAAGAUUGCAUUUCACCUUUACUGGCCUCCGUAUGCAACUCAAGCUUCUUAAGCGUGAUUUUGUAUCUCCACUUUUUCCUUAAUGUUAUCGCUAUCUAAGAUUGAAAUGUAAUUUGAUUAGAUCAUCGGUUAAAUCCACGAUGAAAACCGAAAAUAGAUGAAUCAAUCUGAUGUAAAAAUAAAUAAAUGUGGUUUCACGAAACAGGAAUCAAAAUUUCAAUCUCUAAUUAAUCGUCAUAGCGAAGAUACAGAAAAUUUCAAGUUACAAUUUUCAAACCAUGUCCACGAAAAGCUUGAACAAGGCGCAAGCAUUUACAGAAAAAAGAACGAUGAUAAGAAUAUAAGUCGUUACCAAAAGAAGCAGGUGUUUACAUGUCGUGUUAACUUUCGCGUAUAACUGAUGAAGAAUUCAAGACUCUGUGUGGGGUACGAAUCAAAGAAUCAAAUACCAUGAAGCAAGCAGGAAAAGCUUCACGAAUGCAGCUAUAGCAAUACUUAGACCUGCCCAUAUAAAUGAGAAGAACAAGUGCCGUAGAUCGUACCUAACUGCAAAAGCAUUGGAGGCAAAAUCAUCAUUUAGUUGCAGAUUUGCAAAGAUGUUAACGAUCAGAUAUUGUUUCUCUCAAGAAAAUUAACCAACAUUGUCCCGGUCCCAUCCCACCCUUUCACCACCGAAGCCAUGAUUUCUGCAAAUCUAUCUUUGUCACAACAUGACAUGUUUAUAUUUACCUUGCCUCAAUGACAAUGUCGCAAAAAAGAACCCCGUCAAAACGAAAAACAAAGCCAGUGGAAAUGACUGCAGAACAAUGCGCACCUGCAGACAUUGUAAGCCCUCUAAGCACAACCUCUAUAUGCUAGAUAGAGAGAGAGAGAAAGAGAGAAGGUAGAAGAAAAGAGAAAAGGAUGUACUCACAGACUCUAAAGCAUUCAUCUAAUUUGGGAUGUGAUUUAAUAGUUUCUUCAGCCGCAAAAAUUCCAAGCCUUCUAAGUUGGCAUUCCAACAUAUUUCGGGCUAUCAUGCUCUGCAACAAAUCAGACUCUUUUAGGGAAGAAACAUUGGGAAAAAAAGGUAUACAACUAGAACCAUCAAUAAAGUGAUUAUAAAAUAGUAGUCCGGGUUUGGCUGCAUAACUGAAAGAAGUAGUAGCGACAACAGUUAAAAAGUCAUUAUUUCUUAGCUGUGAAUCAUGUACUAAAAUAUAUACAUAAUUAACUUAAUAAAAGCACAACGCACAUCUCCAACGGUGAUAGAUUUGUAAAGAGGAAGCGAUCAUGUCUCAGAUCUUUCAACUCAUUUUCUUUAUGUUCUUGUAUUUAUAUGGAGGGAGUUUAAGGUUUCGUGUUCACUUGAGGUUUCAUUUCUCUUCAGCAGGAUCAUAUGAUGGAGAAAAACAGUGUGAUUAGUGAAAGCGAAAGCAGGGCAAUUGCAAGCCAAAAGUUGGGGGGUUUAGGCACUUUUCUGAGGAAAUGCUUGUUCAGUGUUGUCUCUGUGGGCCCCAUUCCUGAACACAUAGCCUUCAUCAUGGAUGGAAACAGAAGGUAUGCAAAGAGGAGGAACUUGCCUGUUGGGGAAGGCCACAGAGCUGGAUUUCCAUCUCUCAUGUCGAUUCUCCGGUACUGCUAGGAUUUGGGAGUGAAGUAUGUGACAGUGUAUGCCUUCAGCAUUGACAAUUUCAAGAGGCGGCCCGACGAGGUGAAAACUCUGAUGGAUUUGUUGCGGGAGAAGAUUGAAGGGUUGCUUGAGAAAGAAAGCAUUGUAAACCAGUUUGGCAAUCGGGUAUACUUUAUCGGUAACUUGAAGCUUUUGAACGAGUCUGUGAGGGUUGCUGCUGAGAAGGCAAUGAAGGCCACUGCCAAUAAUUCAAAGGCUGUGCUUUUGAUCUGUGUGGCUUAUACUUCUUGUGAUGAGAUUAUCCAUGCUGUUGAAGAAUCCUGCAAUGUGAAAAAGAGCGAAAUUCGAGCACAGAUUAACGGAGCAAAGGGUGGCCGCAAUGGCGGUAUGGAUGGAGAAGCGGGGUUAGAUACUAGCUAAGCUUGCAAUGAGAACGUUGAGGGGGAGGAGAAGGAAAACACAAGGGUUAAACAUGUCGAAAAAGAUGAAGGGGAAUUUCUAGAGAGUGAGAAGCAGCUUCCUGUUGUAAAGGUAGUGAAUGUUGAGAAGCACUUGUACAUGUCAGUGGCACCUGAUCCAGACAUUUUGAUUCGAACUUCAGGUGAGACACGCUUAAGCAAUUUUCUGCUUUGGCAAACUUCUAACUGCCCGUUGUACUCCCCUGCUGCACUGUGGCCGGAUUUGGGUAUGUGGCACUUGGUUUGGGCAAUUCUGAACUUCCAA